UUGUAUUCCUUAGGACUAGCCUUUCUCUUCUUCUCCUCACUCUAACCCAAGCCAAACUCUUUUUGUGCAAACUUUGACUUUGUUUCAAAUUAGAAACCUAGGCCUUAUGCCUUUGACUUUUCAAACUCAUUUUCAUCAAUACUCAUUGUGAAUAAAUUUUAAUCCAACUUUGAUUUCAUUUUUGUAAAUAAAUCUAACUUGUAAAUACAACUCACUUCAAGUUGAUUUUGUGGUUCCAAUGGCCACCUUUGUUAAAACCUUUUCAUAAACAUUAGUCAUAGGUUUGAGUUAUCAUAGUGGUUAAUGUAAAUCUCACCUCAUCCUUAGUGAUUGGAUUAUAAGUAUUCCAUACUUAUUAUAGGGUUAGCCCCUCACUAGUAUGUUGAAGCCUUCCUCACAUGGUGGAUUGUUGGUUUAGGUUGAGUUUUCUCCCUUUGAUAACAAAAGACCUUAAGGCUUUUGAUCAAAUCAAUUCAUCAAUCUUUGAGAUUUUUACCCCGUUACUACGAGGUUUUUGUCCUCCUUUGUAGAUGGUACGUAGCAGUGUUAAUCAUUCAACAAAAAUUGUACAAUAUAAUCCAUUCUCUUUCUCAUCCCUCAAUCCUGCCACUAUUUUCACAAAUACCAACUAUAACCACACGCUUUGAAAAGCGAGGUUCCCUUUGUCUGAUGGAUGUAUUUGGCGUCGCGUGAAACCUUCCAUUUCAUAACCACCCCCAUUACCUAACCUCUGAAAAUUUUUAUUAAUUUUGAAUUUGAUAAAACUUCUUACUUGGCUUUUGUUCGCUUUUUGCCUUUCUCUUCGACAAAUAAAAGUGCGGUGGCGAUCGAAUUGUAUGUUUACUUUUGGUUUAGUCAAAUAAACCUAAACGGUAAUUGAACACCCCGCGUACAAAAAAGCUGGCGACUACUGGCUGGGGAUAAAUUCACGUCUCCUAGUGGGUUAGCCUACUUCUUUGCUUGUAUGUGUUGUAUCGUUUAUAUUUAUUUCGGUGAACAUAUUUUUGUGCAAAUUUCGGGAUUGACUGUAUUCGUUGUGUGACUGUAUGUUAAUUUGGCUUGAUAUUUAAUUGCUUGUAUGGCUUGGGGUUUCUGUGGAUGAUUCUUACCCGAACUUGAGUGCACUUAUGAUAGGGAAUGGCAUAGUCUUAUUGACUUGUGUGGAGUUAUUCCUUAGCAAGUUGACUUGCAAGCCCAUUCACUUGGUGGAGGUCUUGUUGGGAUCAAUAAUGUCACACGAGUAGUCGUGGUUAGGCAUUACUAUUUCCAAUAUAAACCUUAGAAGCCAAAGACCUUAGAUACCUAGCCUAUUUUAGAACGUAGUGCGAAGGUCGUUCAAGUGUAAGAUUUGAUACGAUUGUUAUGCGAUACUACACUCAUAAGAGUCCCUCUUGAGAAUAUUUUUGGAAUACGAGUAGUCGUUCUAUCCGAUAAUAUCCGAAAGAUGAGAUGAUGACUAUGGGGACCUUUUUAGAACAUGAUUGUCAGGUUUAACCAUAAUACACUCCCAUUAGGUGGUUCUUAACCGAGACUCCAUGCUCGUGACUUACAACAAACCCUUGAUUUGCGGUUGAUCCGUUCUCGUAUAUUCUCAAUAUCAAUGGAACUUGGGUGUUGAUAAGGUAUAAACCAUAAUCCACCAAAAUGGAUGAUUGAUAUUGACAAUGACGUGAACCAUCCCGUGACCUUUGUGUGGUGUGACUUGCUUGAUCCUUGAGUGAGAUUGUUGCAUCCAUGCAGUCAUUUGCAUCCAUAUCAUCAACAAUAAAGAAUCUUCAAGGAACUUAAGAGGUCUAUUUGCAAAUUUUCAGACAUGGAUAAGCAAAGAAGGAAUACGAAGAAGUACAGUUUCAGACAACCCGACUUGAAAGAUUUAAGGAGUUUGGCAUCUUAUGUAUUAGAGCCUUUGGAGUUCAAAGCCUUCCAUGGGAAGCUUCUGUCUGUUCUUUCUACCAAAGUGGAUGAAGGUCUGAUGAGUGUGUUGGUGCAGUUCUAUGAUCCUCUGUAUCAGUGCUUCACUUUUCCGAAUUUCUAGCUUCUGCCUAUACUUGAGGAGUAUGCCUAUCAUGUGGGUAUACCUAUUCUUGAUUAGUUGUCGUUCAGUGGUUUAGAGAAGAUUCCGUCUUCUCAAGAGUUUGCUGGCGUGCUUCAUAUGGAUGUAUCUGAUAUUAGUGCCAAUAUGACUACCAAAGGUGGAAUUCAAGGUCUCCCAUCUGAUUUUCUCAUUGCCAAAGCUACCUUGUUUGGGAAGGCCAUGAGUGAGGACACCUUUGAAGCCAUUUUUUUACUUCUCAUCUAUGGGCUAGUGUUAUUUCCCAACAUCGACAACUUCGUGGAUGUGAACGCUAUUAGGAUUUUCUCUUCUCUUAAUCCCAUUCUGACUCUGUUGGGUGACACUUAUUUCUCUUUGCAUAUGAGGAAUGCAAAGGGUGGUGGUUCCAUUGUGUGAUGUAUGCCUCUGUUGUACAAGUGGUUUAUUUCGCACUUGCCUCAGACACUUACCUUCAAGGAGAACAAGGGAUGUCUACGGUGGUCUGCGAGACUUAUGUCUCUCACUAAUGAUGAUACUUCUUGGUAUAACCGUGUUUAUGAUGACGUUCAGAUUAUUGACUCUUGUGGUGAAUUCUCCAAUGUGCCUCUUCUCGGUACAUGUGGUGGAAUUAACUACAACUCUGUUUUGGCUCGUCGUCAGCUUUGGUUCCCCUUAAAGGAUAAACCUAACAACAUUUUGUUGGAAGGCUUAUUCUUUCAAGAGGGUAAAGAUCCCCAAAAUUUGAAGGAUCAGAUGGUCCGCGUCUAGCGCAAGGUUCAUAGGAAGGGAAGGAAGGAGCUUGUUCCAAAGAUUUGUAUUGCUUUGGAACCCUACACCGCUUGGGUGAGGAAGAGAGCUCUUGAAUACCGCAUGCCAUAUGAUUAUCCGAGACCUACCCCUAUGGUUAUGGUUGGGCCUUCAACCCUCCCUAACCAAGGAGUAGAGGAGUUGAGAGAUGAAGACCAAUCGCGUGCAUGAGUUCAUGAGCGUGAGGAACUUCUUCAGUAGCUCAAAGAUAAGGAUGCAAUGAUAGAUAUUCUAGAGCAUCAGGUUAUUGAUGAGCCUGAUGAUAUGGUUACUUCUCUUCUUCCUCACUCAUCUAGGUUUUGGAAGAGGAAGUAUGAUCAGCUUGCUAAGGAGAAAGCCGACAUGGAAGCAGCUUAUGAGAGAGAGGUGAAGAGGCUUCGUGCAGCUUAUCUUCCGAUUUUGAGGGCUUUGGACGAUUGUUUCUUGGGAUUCAUAGGAUGUUCAUUUUCCUUUUCUCUUGUAUUGUAUUUGGUUACCAGAACUGUACUACUUCUUUGGUGUAAAAUUUUCCAAAUAUUAUUGCUAUGAGUAUUCCAUAUAUGUCUUAAAAGAUUAAUAUUUUCAAAUAGUUGCAAAUAGAUCUCUAUAAAGUUCCUCUGAUUAAAAAACAAACCAUAUGCACAAACAUUGCAUGCAUCAUAUGCAUAAGCAGGUUUUGUUCUGAGCUCUUGAUCAGUGGUCUAACUCUUUGCUCUUCAUUUAUUUUGAAGACAAGCUGACGCACCGGUAUAAUACCAGAGAAAACAUUGCAUGCAUCAUAUGCAUAAGCAGGUUUUGUUCUGAGCUCUUGAUCAGUGGUCUAACUCUUUGCUCUUCAUUUAUUUUGAAGACAAGCUGACGCACCGGUAUAAUACCAGAGCCAAUCAUCCGAGGAUAACGGAGCACUUAGAGCAAGAGAACCUGGAAUUGAAGGAAUAGAUUGCUAGGUUGACCGCCAUGAUGGAGUCAGUUCUGGCAGCGCAGAGCCAAACUUCACCAACUCCCGCAACUCCUCCCGCGAGGACUGUUAUAUCAGAGAUAGCGACUUAAACGGUGCCCGCUGCAACAACUCAUUUCGCUCCGUCUAUGCCAGUCGGGUUCCCUUGGGGAAUGCCUGCUAAUUUUGUGCCAGAGGGUUUUGCUCCUACUCUCGCUUCUCUGCCGGCAUCUAGCCCGGUCCUGUCUGUGCCACCUCCCGUUGUGCACACCUUUCCCCGUGUUGAAGACACCAUCUAUCAUUCUGAGUCCUCUGAGAGCCCAAAUGUUUAUGAGAAGAUAGAUGAGAUGAAAGACCAAUUCCUUGAGCUGCGCAAGGAACUAAAGAUUAUGAGGGGUAAGGACCUCUUUGGUAAGAGUGAUGCUGAGUUGUGCCUAGUGCCCAACAUGAAGAUCCCUGUUAAAUUCAAAGUACCUGACUUUGAGAAAUAUAAGGGAAAUAAAUGCCCACUCAGCCAUCUUGUGAUGUAUGCUCGCAAGAUGUCAACACAGACCGAUAACGACCAACUUCUUAUCCACUAUUUUCAGGAUAGCCUGACUGGUGCUGCGCUCCGGUGGUAUAUGGGGCUGGAAAGUGCAAGCAUCCGCUCUUUCAAAGAUUUAGGCGAGGCCUUCGUCAAGCAGUACAAAUAUAAUAUGGAUAUGGCUCCAGAAAGGGACCAAUUGAGGGUGAUGUCGCAGAAGGACAAGGAGACCUUCAAGGAGUACGCCCAGAGAUGGCGAGAGCUGGCCGCUUAGAUAUUGCCACCCCUAGAAGAGAAGGAGAUGACAAAUAUCUUUUUGAAGACUUUGAGCUCUUUCUAUUAUGAAAGAAUGAUUGUCAGUGCUCCCUCAGACUUCACCGAAAUGGUGAAUAUGGGGAUGAGAUUGGAAGAAGGGGUCUGUGAAGGACGAUUAUCCAAAGAAGACAUCUCCUCAACAAAGAAGUAUGGAGGCUUUGCGAGGAAGUAGGAGGGAGAGACCCAUGUUGUGUCCUCCCAUAUCAAAAGAAGGCCCUCUGUAAGGAGGAAGGAUGUGCGCCCUGCCAUUAACCAACACUAGGUGGCUCACAUAGCACCUGCUUUUAGAGAAGUACAACAACAACAACAACAACGUCGUCCACAACAGCAGGCCUACCAGCCUCGAAACAACAAUAACACCAACACCAACAACUACGAGAGGAAGAGGGUCACUUUUGAUCCGAUUCCAAUGACAUAUGCUGAGCUCUAUCCUUCUUUUAUCGAUAGAAAGCUGAUAACUCCACGAGAUGCUACUGCUGGUCCCACCAAUCCUCAGUGGUGGUAUAAGCCAGAGUUUCAUUGUGUAUAUCAUUCCGGUGCUCCCGGGCAUGACGUGGAGAAGUGUUACCCGUUGAAGACCAAGGUGCAAGACCUUGUGAGAAGUGGUAUAUUGUUUUUCUAGGACGUAGGUCCUAAUGUUAAGAAGAACCCAUUGCCCGAGCAUGGGAAAGCAGUUGUUAACAUGGUCCAGGGAUGCCCUGGAAAAUAUAAAGUCCUGUAUGUGAAUGACAUAAGGCAAUCUUUGGUCGAGAUGCAUAAGCUAUUGUGUGAACACAAUCACUACGAGCAUGACCAUGAUAGGUUCCAGGUGUGCACUAUCAACGAGAGAGGAUGCCGUCAAGUUAGAAAGGACAUCCAAGAGAUGAUUGAUCAGGGAAUGAUUGAAAUACUUCAGAAUCGUAAUGAGGACGAAGUCGAUGUUAUAACCCCGGUGUUUAAAAUUCCUGAGCCUGUUGUCGUCAAGUAUGAUGGCAGCAAGAAGAAGGUAUCUCCAACUCUUGUGAUCAAGCCAGCGGGUCCUGUCCCGUAUUCAUCAGACAAAGUUGUUCCCUAUCGAUACAACACAGUCAUGCUAGAAGAUGGGAAGGAGGUUCCGUUUCCCUCAACCUCUGUUGUUAGCAUUUCAGACGUUAGUGGUGUGACCCGUAGUGGUCGUGUUUUCUCGGCGCAGCCGAAAUCCCAUGAAGAUGUUGUGAAGAGAACUGCUGUUAAUCCUGCCAGUCUUGUGGGGACUUCUUCUUCAAACAAUUUUGUACCUGUUGUGAAGGGUGUUGACCCUGUUGCUAUCAAGAAUAAUAACGCUCCUAUCCCGGUUGGCCAGUCUGGCAUUUUAAAAGAGGAUGGUGAUGAGAUGUUAAGGCUCAUCAAAAGGAGUGAAUACAAUGUUGUUAAUCAGCUGCUACAAACUCCAUCAAAGAUAUAUGUCUUAUCUUUGUUGAUGAAUUCAGAGCCACACCGUGAAGCUUGGUAGAGGUUAUUGGACUUGGCAUACAUGGACCACGAUGUCACAAUUGAGCAGUUUGAUAGCAUUGUUGCAAAUAUAACCGCUUGCAACAAUUUGAGCUUCUGUGAUGCUGAUCUUCCCGAGGAGGGAAAAGACCACAAUUUGGCUCUACACAUAUCUAUGAACUGUAAGGAUGAUGCCUUGUCCAAUGUGUUGGUGGACACAGGAUCAUCUCUCAAUGUGUUGCCAAAAUCCACUCUUGCCAAACUUUCAUAUCAGGGGCCUCCCAUGAGGCAGAGUGGAGUGGUUGUGAAGGCGUUUGAUGGAUCGUGCAAAACUGUGAUCGGCGAAUUAGAACUCCCGGUCAAGAUCGGACCUAGUGAUUUCCAUAUCACUUUCCAGGUCAUGGAUAUUCAUCCGUCUUACAGCUGUUUUCUUGGCAGACCAUGGAUUCACGAAGCAGGCGCCGUGACAUCCACCCUACACCAAAAGUUGAAGUUUAUGAAAAACAAGAAGUUGGUGGUGAUAGGGGGAGAGAAGGCUCUCUUGGUCAAACAUUUAUCUUCCUUAUCCUAUAUUGAAUGUGAGGAUGAGGUUGGGACUCCGUUCCAAGCCUUAUCUAUUGUUGAGCCUUCGAGGAAAAGACUUUCUUCAUUUGUCUCCUACAAUGAUGCGAAGUUGGCCAUUGAGCAUGGUGCAACGACUGGUUUGGGGAAAAUGAUCAAGUUAGAAGAUAAUAAGUCUCGAGCUGGCAUAGGGUAUUCUUCCGGUGUUUCCAAUGAGCGUGGGCUGUUCCAGAGUGGAGGUUUCAUCCAUACCGUUGAAGAUCAGGAAACUGCUACCAUUGUCGAAGAAGAUGAAGAGGAAGACCUUGGCAACUUUAUCAUACCUGGCGGAAUCUGCAAUAAUUGGGUCGCUGUUGAUGUUCCAACGGUUAUCCAUAAGUCAACGUAAUGUGUUUAUUUUCCUUAAAAACCCUUCUCCCAUGCCAAAAGGAGAAGUGAUGACAUUGAUUGGCACAAUUUGGUUAAUACAAUGAUAUUCAUUCAAUAAUCACAAGCUAAAUGUUUGUUUUUCCAAAAUUAUUUUUCCUUUUUGAUUUUUUGCAUGAAAUUGGUGAUCACCAUAAAACCCUAAAAAAGAGAAUAAAAUCAAUCUUUUCAGCUGCAUAAUGAUUUGCCUUUGUUUAAAUUUUGAAAUCUCUUUUUAUACUCAAAAUCAUUAUGCAGGUUAAUCAAACCCAUUGAACAUAAUGAUCCAACACCAUCUCCCAACUUUGAGUUCCCUAUAUUUGAGGCAGAAGAAGAUGAUGUUGAAGAGAUUCCUGAUGAAAAUCAUUAUGCAGGUUAAUCAAACCCAUUGAACAUAAUGAUCCAACACCAUCUCCCAACUUUGAGUUCCCUAUAUUUGAGGCAGAAGAAGAUGAUGUUGAAGAGAUUCCUGAUGAGAUUACCCGUCUUCUUGAGCACGAGGAGAAGAUCAUUCAGCUGCAUCUUGAGAAUCUGGAAACAGUCAACUUGGGGUCUGAAGACUGCGUUCGUGAAGUGAAGAUUGGGGCACUUCUUGAAGAGUCUGUUAAGAAGGGGUUGAUUGAGUUUCUAUGAGAAUAUGUCGACGUCUUUGCCUGGUCGUAUGAAGACAUGCCUGGUCUAGAUACUGAUAUUGUGCAACAUUUUUUGUCGUUGAAGCCUGAGUGUGUGCCUGUGAAGCAGAAGCUCAGAAGAACUCAUCCUGAUAUGGCAGUGAAGAUUAAAGAAGAAGUUCAUAAGCAAAUUGAUGUGGGGCUUCUGGUGACUUCUAUAUAUCCUCAAUGGGUGGCCAAUAUUGUGCUUGUGCCUAAGAAAGAUGGAAAAGUCCGAAUGUGUGUGGAUUACCAUGACUUGAAUAAAGCUAGUCCGAAAGCUGAUUUUCCUCUACCACACAUUGAUAUGUUGGUAGACAAUCUGGCUAAAUUCAAUGUCUUCUCAUUUAUGGACGGAUUUUUCGGUUAUAAUCAGAUUAAAAUGGAACUUGGGUGUUGAUAAGGUAUAAACCAUAAUCCACCAAAAUGGAUGAUUGAUAUUGACAAUGACGUGAACCAUCUCGUGACCUUUGUGUGGUGUGACUUGCUUGAUCCUUGAGUAUGAUUGUUGCAUCCAUGCAUUCAUGCAUUCAUUUGCAUCCAUAUCAUCAACAAUAAAGAAUCUUCAAGGAACUUAAGAGGUCUAUUUGCAAAUUCUCAGACAUGGAUAAGCAAAGAAGGAAUACGAAGAAGUACAGUUUCAGAUAACCCGACUCGAAAGAGUUAAGGAGUUUGGCAUCUUAUGUAUUAGAGCCUUUGGAGUUCAAAGCUUGCCAUGGGAAGCUUCUGUCUAUUCUUUCUACCAAAGUGGAUGAAGGUCAGAUGAGUGUGUUGGUGCAGUUCUAUGAUCCUCUAUAUCGGUGCUUCACUUUUCCGGAUUUUCAGCUUCUGCCUACACUUGAGGAGUAUGCCUAUCAUGUGGGUAUACCUAUUCUUGAUCAGUUUCCAUUCAGUGGUUUAGAGAAGAUUAUGUCUUCUCAAGAGAUUGCUGACAUGCUUCAUAUGGAUGUAUCUGAUAUUAGUGCCAAUAUGACUACCAAAGGUGGAAUUCAAGGUCUCCCAUUUGAUUUUCUCAUUGCCAAAGCUACCUUGUUUGGGAAGGCCAUGAGUGAGGACGCCUUUGAAGCCAUAUUUGUACUUCUCAUCUAUGGGCUAGUGUUAUUUUCCAACAUCGACAACUUCGUGGAUGUGAACGCUAUUAGGAUUUUCUCUUCUCUUAAUCCCGUUCCGACUCUAUUGGGUGACACUUAUUUUUCUUUGCAUAUGAGGAAUGCAAAGGGUGGUGGUUCCAUUGUGUGAUGUCUGCCUCUGUUGUACAAGUGGUUUAUUUCGCACUUGCCUUAGACACCUCCCUUCAAGGAGAACAAGGGAUGUCUACGGUGGUCUGUGAGACUUAUGUCUCUCAUUAAUGAUGAUAUAUCUUGGUAUAACCGUGUUUAUGAUGGCGUUCAUAUUAUUGACUCUUGUGGUGAAUUCUCCAAUGUGCCUCUUCUCGGUACAUGUGGUGGAAUGAACUACAACCCUGUUUUGGCUCGCCGUCAGCUUAGGAUCCCCUUAAAGGAUAAACCUAACUACAUUUUGUUGGAAGGCUUAUUCUUUCAAGAGGGUAAAGAUCCCCAGAAUUUGAAGGAUAAGACGGUUCGUGCCUGGCGCAAGCUUCAUAGGAAGGGAAGGAAGGAGCUUUGUCCGAAGAAUUCUAUUGCUUUGGAACCCUACACCGCUUGGGUGAGGAAGAGAGCUCUUGAAUACCGCAUGCCAUAUGAUUAUCCGAGACCUACCCCUAUGGUUAUGGUUGGGCCUUCAACCCUCGCUAACCAAAGAGUAGAGGAGUUGAGAGAUGAAGACCAGUCGCGUGCAUGAGUUCGUGAGCGUGAGGAACUUCUUCAGCAGCUCAAAGAUAAGGAUGCAGUGAUAGAAUUUCUAGAGCAUUAGGUUAUUGAUGAGCCUGAUGAUGUGGUUACUUCUCUUCUUCCUCACUCAUCCAGGUUUUGGAAGAGGAAGUAUGAUCAGCUUGCUAAGGAGAAAACCGACAUGGAAGCAGCUUAUGAGAGAGAGGUGAAGAGGCUUCGUGCAGCUUAUCUUCCGAUUUUGAGGGCUUUGGACGAUUUCUUCUAGGGCUCCAUAGGAUGUUCAUUCUCCUUUUCUCUUGUAUUAUAUCCGUUUCUCUCUCAAUUUUGCUCAAUUCUCUUGAUUCUUUGGUUGUCUGAAGUCCUACCAAUAUAGGCAAGAAGAUUGAGUUGUUUAGAGGUCAAAUUGAAGCAACUCAGUUGACAUACCUCAAAAUUUAACUCCUCAUAUCUUUCUAUAUGUGAGGAGUUAGUUAAAAUUGAGGUGAUAUUCGUGAUCUACACCAUUUUUCCUUUCAGAUCAUGUCCUCUUUUUUCAUUUUUGAUGUGUUGAUGAAUGGACAAGUCCGGCCAAGGUCGCCUGAGAAGACGACCGACACUUUGCUCCGGCAAUGAGGUGGCAAGGUCCAGAGCCAUUAGAUUGAUUCAAAAUGUUUUAAUCAAGAACGUUGCUUGUGAUGACCAAGUGUGUGGCGCGCUGACUAGCGUGUACCAUGGACCGCGCGUUUCUCACCACUUGAUCUGCCACCUCAAUUAAUGAGGCAGAUCAAGUGGUCCACGUUUUUUUGAUUUUCUGAUUUUAAUUUUUAUUCCUUUGAUUUUCAUUAAUUCAUAUUAAUUUUAAUAUUGACACAAAUAUGAGAGUUUCACCCAAAUUUUCAAAUAUUUUUCCUCUUUCAUAUUCUAAAUUAAAAUUUUUUUGAUCAUUAUUAAUAUUUUCAUGAUUUAAUUGAUUUUCAUUUGUGUUUUAUUGUUUAAAAAUACUUUUAAGUCUUCUAAAAUUCUGAAUUUUUUCUUCCAAGGUCCUUUGACAUUGUUUGCCUAUGAUAAAUCUUAUGGUUAUUUAUUGGUGUUUUGAUGAGGUUUUAGGAAUUUGACAAACCAUAUUUAAUUUAAAUGUAUUAUUUUAGUAUUUUUAAUUGGAAUAAAUGCCAAAUAAUUUUGUUGACCAAUUGUGAUGACUUGUUGAUGUUUGACUCUUGUUGUUGGGCCUUGGUCAAGGUUGAUUUGACUUUGUCAAAUUAAUAUCAUUGGAUUUAGGGGAUUGAUGGAAUGUACAUUCCAUAUCCCAAAAUGAAUGAAUAAUAUUAAUUUGGUAAAAGUCCUCCUUUGAUCAAUUUGAGAUUUCAUCUAUUCCCCUCCCUCUUCAUCUCAUUCCCCUUCUUUAUGCAUUCAUCUCUUUUGGCCUAUGAUAUCUCAAAGUCCUAAAGCUAAUUGAUUGAAAAAUUAACAUGAGUAUGAAUGAGAUUAGGUAUAACCUUUUGCAUAUUCGUUUUGUGUGUGGUAUGUUUCAUGAGCAUAGUUCAUAAUACUAUGUCUCUAACAUGCAUUAACACCAAAAUUCUAUUGCCCAACCUCAAAUAGUUGUGACUUCUACAUAAGUCCAAUUACGAUUGCUUAACAUAGCGCUAAAUUUGUGGAAAUAAAAGGCAUAGGCAUUCUUAGUUAGUGAGAUUGUAAGUCUCCCUUCUUUCAUGGUAUUGUAUAGAAACGUUUCCUUUUUCCUUUCCUUUGGAAGAUGUCUUGGUUCAAAGAUCCAUGCUUGUGAUUAAGUGGGUUGAGUGUUCUCCAAAGAAUGUCUUAGAAUGAAAAGCAAAAACAAAACACAAUACUAACUUCUAACCUAUUAACUACUAACUUUUAAUUUCAAGCCCUUUACUUUAAUGCCAUUUAAUUCUAGCUUUUAUACAUUUGCCAUUGUUCAUAUCAUUCUAAUUGUUUAUGUUAAUGCAAUUUUCACUUUGUCCACUUGUACCAUAUUGUGUGAUAUUUUUUGUUUGUGUAUACUUUGCUUGUUUGUGUGGUCUUUGACCAUUAACGUACAUAAUAAUAACAAAAACCCUAAACAACUUUUGUAUGGACUAUUGGCUUGAUCUUGGACAAAUGGACUUAGAAUUUAGGCAACAUUCCUAUGCUAAAGGACUUGGCCAAUGCCAACUUAUUGAGAACCAAGUGCUUGCAAUUUGAACUUCAUCUGAUACAUCUUUGAAGACCUCUCUAAAUUCAUAUGCAAUAUGAUCAUUGUGAAGCUGUUAUUUUGAACCCGUGACUUGUGGAAUUCAUCUGUUACAUGGGCUAUUUUGGAGAAGAUCAUGGAAUGGAUAAGCUUGGAUGUGGCCAUCUUUAUUUGAUGCCUUGCUCUUCAAGAUAAUAUGAUUGUGCAUUUGUGUGUUGCUUGAUUCUAAAAGUCCAAGGGAAUUCUUUGUUUCUAUUGACAUUCUUGUCUAUUGGAUUGCUACCCAUUUGGUCAGAUCUUUUCAACUCUAAACUUUUUAUUUUGUACAUAGGACUAGUCUCUUCAUUUUCUCCCCAUUUAUUUAAUUUCAAAAUAUCUCCCUCCUUUUUCAAAAUCGUCUUUGAUUGAACUUAUUUUUGUUCUAAACUUUGACCACUUUUGCAAAAAAGAUAGAAACUUUGGUCUUAUGCCAUUGCAUUUUCAAACUUAUUUUCUUAAAUCAAACUUGUAAAUAGACUUAACUAUACUUGACUUAAACUUCCAAAAAUCCAAAAAGAACUAACUCAUUCAAACCAUUUUUUAGGCCUUUGUGCCUUUCAAACUUAAUUUUGGUUAAAAGCAAUGUAUCCACUUUAAAGUUUGUAUCACGAACUACGAGGUUUGAUCCUCAUUUUUAUGUUGAUACGUAGGCACAAGACCAAAGGUCUUGCGAAACACAAAAAUAUAAUUAAUGAAUUCUUUUCUCAUCCCCCCAUUCUAUUUGUCUGUAAACAUCACUUUGUACCAAAUACAUAUGCACACAAAAAGGGCUCCGUAGGAGUACCUAGGACACAUUGGGUGCUAACACCUUCCCUCUGUGUAACCAACCCCCUUACAUGUAAUCUCUGACAUUUUAUUAGUUUUGAUUUGAAAACUUUUACUUUUGAGUUUUGUUUGUACUUUUUCCCUUUUCCCUUGGAAACAAUAAAAGCACGGUGCCAACUCUUGUUAUUUGAUCUCUAGCUUAUCCAUAACUUGAUGAUCAUGAAUUUACCGCUACAGAAAUUAAGUGGCGACUCUGCUGGGGAGUAGUCUCCAGUGGUUUUAGCCUACUUUUUGUGUGUAUAUAUUUAUGUGAUAUUUGUAUAUAUGUAUAUGUGAUAUAAUCUGCUUGUUGUGCUUGGUGAUCUUUGAGUGGUGAGAUAAGUUCUAACCCGAACUUGAGUUCAAUUAAGAUAGGAGGAUGGUAUAGUCAUGUUUGACUUGUGUGGAGUAGUCCUUAACAAGUUGGCUUGAGAUCCAACUGCUCAGUGGAGACUCUUUUGGAUUUGGAAAUGUCACACAAGUAUUUAUGGUUAGGCAUUACUAUCUCUAAUUUAGGUCUGGGAAGCUGAGGACCAUAGAACAUUUACCCCCUCUUGGCCUAUUUAGGAAGUAGUGCAGAAACUGUUAAAGUGUAGACUUGAUAACAGUUGUUACGCGAUACUACACUCAGACGAGUUUCUCUUGAGAAUAUUAUGGGUCGAUGAGUCGGUCAUCUUAACCUGUAAUAUCCGAUAAAUGGAAUUAAGACUCUGGGAAAUUUUUAGAACAUGAUCUAUAGGUUUUUAUCCUUAAUACACUCCUUUGGAAUGGUUCUUACCCAGACUUCAUGCUCGUGACUCUCAAUAAACCCUUGAUUCUUGGUUGAUCCAAUCAAGUCUUAUCAAUGUCAAUGGAACUUGGGUGUCGAUAAGGUGUAAACCAUAAUCCACCAAAAUGGAUGAUUGAUCUUGACAAUGACUUGAUUCAUCCCUUGACCUUUGUUUGUCUUGUGUGUGAUCCCUUAUUUGUGAUUGAACGUAAGUACGUAAGUACCGCAUCAUAACAUUCAUCACACAAAAAUUUCAAGGAACUGAGGUAUUAUUUGCAAAUAUUUUCAGACCAUGGACUGUGGACGAAGGAACACUAAGAAGUACAGUUUCAUAUGUCCCGACUUGAAAGAUUUAAGGAAGCUAGCAUCUUUUGUAUUAGAUCCCUUGGACUUCAAACAAUGUCAUGGGAAGCUUCUGUCUAUCUUGUCUGCUGAUGUGGUUGAAGGACUUUUGAGUGUGCUAGUGCAGUUCUAUGAUUCUCUCUACCGCUGUUUCACUUUCCCAGAUUUUCAGCUUGUGCCUACCUUAGAGGAGUAUUCUCAUCUUUUGGGGAUACCUGUUUCUAGUAGAGUGCCUUUUAAUGGAUUGGAGGAGAUUCCCCGGUCUAAUCUUAUUGCUGAAGCUCUUCACUUGAAGAAGUCUUAGAUAGAGGCUCAUUGGGUGAAGAAAGGAGCGUUAUUUGGGUUGCCAUCUUAUUUCCUCAUCAAAGAAGCUACUACUUUUGCUCAAGCCGGUAGUGUGGACACUUUUGAAGCUAUCUUUGUAUUGCUCGUCUAUGGAUUAACUUUGUUCCCUAACCUUGACGGUUUUGUUGGUGCUAACGCCAUUAGACUUUUCUUGAUUGGGAAUCAUGUGCCUACUUUGUUGGGUGAUAUGUAUUUCUCUUUGCAUAUAAGGAAUUCUAAGGGUGGUGGAACAAUUGUCUAUUGUAUUCCUCUCCUGUACAAGUGGUUUAUUUCGCACUUGCCUCAGACACCUGCUUUUAUGGAGAACAAACAAUGUCUAAGGUGGUCUCAGACACUUAUGUCUCUCACUAAUGAUGAUAUAGUUUGGUAUGAUCCGUCUUUGAGCAGUUUGGAGAUUAUUGAUAGUUGUGCACUUAAGAGAUUACAGCCUCUCAUUGGUACACAAGGAGGAAUUAACUACAAUCCUGCUUUGGCUCGUCGUCAACUUGGGUUCCCCUUGAGAGACAAGCCUAAUAACACUUUGUUAGAAGGUCUUUUCUAUCAAGAGGGUAAAGAUCCCCAAAAUUUGAAGUAGAAGAUUGUGCAUGCUUGGCAUAAUGUGCAUAGGAAAGGAAGAUCCGAGUUUGGUCCAUGCAAUUGUGUAGCUUUGGAAGCUUACACUCUUUGGGUGAAGAAGAAAGCUUUGGAGUUGAAGAUGCCUUAUCCUUAUGAAAGACCUAUGUCUAUGGUUGUGGUUGAGCCAUUAACUCUCCCUAACCAAGAUGUAGAGGAGUUGGAAGACGCGCUCAUCAAGAUGAAGCAAGAGAAGACAUGUGGGAAGAGCGUUUCCGUGCUUUGAGCAAGAAGCAUGAAGAGUUGCAGUUGGAGUCUAAGGACAAAGAUGCACCUAUUGAGCUACUUAAAGAUCGAGUGACGAAGAGACAGAGAGAGCCAUAGGUUUCAUCUUUUAGCAUGCCUCAGCCUUCCGUUGCUUGGAAGAAGAUUGUUGACCAUCUUGUCCUCGAGAAGACUCAAAUGAAGGCUUCUUUUGAGACUGAGAUCCGUCACAUUCGAAGAAAGUACGCACCUACAGCCAGAUCUUCUGACAUUGUUGUUAGGGAUCCUUAGGAUGACUAGUCUCCUUUUCUCUUGUAUUUUUAUUUUGGUUUCUGAAAUUAUACUCAGUGUAAUCCUUCUAAUUUACAUAAAUAAAAAGAGAUUUUUGGUCAUAUCAAAUUGUUUCAAUUGCCAUUUAAAUAUAUAUAUAUUUUUGAAAAUGAUAUAGUAAGUUCCUUGAAAAUAAAAAUAAUCAAGCAUUGCAUCUCAUGCAUCAUUUGCAUAAGCAUGUUUUUGCCAGAUGUCUGAUUGGUAUUUCUUCUAUGCUUUAGCCAAGCUGACUCACCGGUAUAAUACCCGAGCCAAUCAUCUGAGAAUCAUGGAGCACCUAGAGCAAGAGAACAGAGGGCUGAAGGACGAAAUCGCCCGCCUGACUACCAUGAUGGACUCAGUUCUUUCCGCUCAGAGUCAAUCUUCUCCAACGCCUGCAACUCCUCCUGCGAGGACUGUCAUUUCAGAGGUGGCUACCUCUACCAUGCCCGCUGGUGCCGCCCAUUUCGCACCAACUAUGCUUGUCGGAUUCCCGUGGGGAAUGUCAUCCAACUUUUUACCUGAAGGUUUCACGCCUACCUUUGCUUCCAUGCCACAUCUAGCCCAUUCAUGUCUGUGCCACCUCCUGUUGUGCAUACUUUGCCUCGUGUAGAGGACACCAUCUAUCACUCCGAGCCGUCUGAGGGUCCGGAGUUGUUGCGGUUGUUGUUGUUGACGUUGUUGUUGUUGAACUGGUGUUGUUUGUUGAUUAGAAAAUACCGGGAUAACGGAAGAUACUUAAUGACGAUGAUGUUGACGGGAUGAUUGAUUUCUUCUGAUCUGAGGCCUCCUCUGCCUCCCACUAGAAAUCGCAUUCGUCUCACUGCCUUUCUUCUUACCAAAAUUGCUACUAUACCUCUUGCUUGUUGAUGCCUCAUCUCUUGAAAAACGUCCCUCUCAAACUCUUUCUUCAAGCCUCAUCCCCAUGUUUACCGUUUUGGUAAAGUCACUGGGGGCACUAGCAAUCAUUCGUUCAUAGUAAAAUAAACUCAGAGUUUUCAAGAAAAUCUUUGUCAUUUCUUUUUCCUCCAAAGGAGGAGUGAUCUGGGCAGCCAACUCCCUCCAUCGCUGCGCAUACUCUUUGAAUGUCUCUUUCUCCUUCUGAGACAUGGACCUCAGCUGGUCUCUAUCUGGCGCCAUGUCCACAUUAUACUUAUACUGCUUGAUAAAAGCCUCCCCCAAGUCAUUGAAAGUGCGAAUGCUGGCACUGUCCAAUCCCAUGUACCAACGAAGCGCGAUGCCGGUCAGACUAUCUUGGAAGUAGUGAAUAAGCAAUUGAUCAUUGUCGAUUUGAGUAAACAUCUUGCGAGCAUACAUCACAAGAUGACUGAGCGGACAAGAGUUCCCCUUAUACUUCUCAAGUUCAUGCACUUUGAACUUCACCGGGAUCUUGACGUUGGGCACCAAACACACUCGGCAUCAUCAUCAUCAUUAAGUAUCUUCAGUUAUCCGGUAUUUUCUAAUCAACAAACAACACCAGUUCAACAACAACAAUGUCAAUAACAACAACCGCAACAACGAACGAACACCUACAACAACAACAACAAUACCAACAACAAUAAGCAAUAAAACUUUGAGAGGAAAAAGGUCUCUUUCGACCCGAUUCUAAUGUCUUACGCAGAGCUUUAUCCAUCCUUGGUUCUCAAGAAACCUGCCAUAGAUUCCAGAACCACUUCCUUGGUGGUAUAAACCUGAGCUCCGUUGUGCUUUUCAUCAAGGAGCACCUGGACAUGAUAUUGAAAAUUGUUAUCCGCUUAAGUAUGAGGUUCAGAAGCUGGUGAAGAGUGGUAUGGUGUCCUUCGAGGACCGUGCGCCGAAUGUGAAAGCAAACUUGUUGCCCGCUCAUGGGAACUCUUCUGUGAAUAUGGUGGAUGGUUGUCCUGGGGAAUUUAAAGUUUUUGAUGUGCGUUUUAUCAGGAGAUCCUUAGUACAGAUGCAUAAGGAUGUUUGUUUGGUAAGUGAAUCUGAGCACGACCAUGAUGGUUGUGUUGUAUGUAGUGUUAACCCGAGGGGUUGCGAAGUUAUGAAAAAGGAUAUCCAACGACUGAUGGAUGAAGGCAUAAUCCAAAUUGUUCAAUCCCAUCCUGCAGAUGAUGAUGUUAAUGUCAUAGUGCCUGUUUUCAAGCAGCCUGAGAAGUUGGUGAUUCAGUAUGACUCCAGUAACAACAACAGUCAAAGAUCAAUAUCGUUGUUGGUAAUACGAUUAGCGGGCCCAGUCCCGUAUUCAUCUGAUAAAGCUGUGUCGUAUCAAUAUAAUGCUACAAUGAUGCAGGAUGGUCAAGAGGUCCCGUUACCUACGACUAGUUUAGUGGUGAGCAUUGCUGAUGUUACUAAGGUGACCCGCAGUGGUCGAGUGUUUGGGUCGGUGUUCCCAAAGGAUAAAGAAGAAGCGGUUGUGAGUAAGAAAGUGGAAGUGCCUUUUUAAAGUCCAAUUGGUUAUUCAAAAGAUAAGUCUGGUGAAUCCAGCAACUUGAAACCCAAUGAUGAUGAUGAGGUACUUCGGUUGAUUAAAAGGAGUGAGUUUAAUGUGGUAGAGCAGCUGCUCCAAACCCCCUAAAAAAUCUUAGUGUUGUCUCUGCUCAUGAACUCUGAAGCGCACAGAGAAUCACUACAGAGAGUUCUGGAACAAGCUUUUGUAGAACAUGAUGUUACAGUGGAUCAAUUUGAUCAUAUUAUGGCUAACAUCACUUCUUGCAAUAAUCUUAGCUUUUGUGAUGAAGAACUCCCUGAGGAGGGAAGAAAUCAUAAUCUGGCUUUGCACAUUUCUAUGAAUUGCAAAGAAGAUACUUUAUCAAAUGUUCUUGUUGACACUGGUUCAUCGCUGAAUGUACUCCCGAAGUUAACUUUGUCAAAGUUGUCAUAUCAAGGAGCGUCUAUGAGGUACAAUGGUGUAAUCGUCAAAGCUUUUGACGGUUCACGCAAGACAGUUAUUAGUGAAGUGGACCUUCCAGUUAAGAUAGGUCCGAGUGAUUUUCAAAUUACUUUUCAAGUAAUGGAUAUUCACCCGGCCUACAGUUGCUUGUUGGGAAGGCCAUGGAUCCAUGAGGCAGGAGUUGUUACCUCCACAUUGCACCAGAAGCUCAAAUUUGUGAAGAAUGGCAAGCUAGUGAUUGUUGGUGGAGAGAAGGCGUUGUUGGUUAGCCAUUUGUCAUAUUUCUCUUAUGUGGAAGCUGAGGAUGAGGUUGGAACUCCAUUCCAAGCCUUAUCUAUUGCUGCUGAGAAGAGAAUUGGGGCACCUAUGUCCUCAUUGAAAGAUGCUCAAAGGAUUGUGGAAGAAGGCAAUGUCGAUCAGUGGGGCCGCAUGGUAGAGGUCUCCGAAAAUAAAGGCGGAACCGGUUUGGGGUUCCAGAAAGGUUCAUCAACUGCAAGGUCUAAAGAUAUGGAACUUAGCUUCCGUAGUGGGGUUCAUUCAUGGCAAUGAACAACACUUAGCUGUUGUGCUAGAGGAUGAUGAAGAGGAAGACUGCACCAAUUUUGUGACGCAUGGAAAGGAUUGUAACAAUUCGACUACUGUUGAUAUUCCUGUUAUUUUGCAUCGAUCUAAGUAAUUACUUUUAUAUGUUUUAAAAUCCUUCUCCUAUGCCUAAGGGAGAAGUGAACAUUGUUUGGGCAUUUUCAAAUUGAUCAUCAAUAAAAUUAAUUCUAUUCAUCCACAUCUAUGAUGUUUAUUUUUAACUUUUUGCUUUAUUCUGAAAAUGGUAACUCACAAAAAAAAAAAAAAAAAAUUCCAUCUGCAUAAUAUUUGGUCACAAAUUCACUUCUCUAAAAUCAAAAUAUCAAAUCAUUAUGCAGGUUGGUUCCUAACCCCAUUGAAUACAAUGAUCCUUCUCCUUCUCCAAAUUUUGAAUUCCCCGUGUUUGAGGCCGAGGAGGAAAGUGAUGUAGAAGUAAGUGAUGAAUUAUCUCGUCUUCUUGAGCAAGAUGAAAAGACCAUUCAGCCUUUUGAAGAGCAAGCCGAGUUAGUCAACUUGGGUUCUGAGGAUGAUGUGAAGGAAGUCAAGAUUGGGUCUCGACUGUGUCCAGAAGUCAAGAAGGGGUUGAUUGAUCUUCUUCGAGAGUAUUCAGAUGUGUUUGCUUGGUCGUAUCAAGAGAUGCAUGGGUUGGAUUCGGAGAUUGUAGAGCAUAGAUUGCCGUUAAAGCCAAAAUGCCUGCCAGUCAAGCAGAAGUUGAGAAGGACGCAUCCUGAUAUGGCUGUGAAGAUCAAAGAGGAAGUGCAGAAGCAGAUUGAUGCCGAUUUCCUUGUAUCCACUGAAUAUCCGAAAUGGGUGGCCAAUAUUGUGCCUAUUCCGAAGAAAGACGGAAAGGUCCGCAUGUGUGUUGACUAUAGAGAUUUGAAUAAAGCCAUUCUGAAAGAUGAUUUCCUUCUGCCACACAUUGAUAUGUUGGUAGACAAUACUGCUAAAUUCAAAGUCUUUUCGUUUAUGGAUGAAUUUUCUGGAUAUAAUCAGAUCAAGAUUGCUCCCAAAGAUAUGGAGAAGACCACAUUCAUUACACCUUGGGAAACAUUCUGUUAUAGAGUGAUGCCUUUCGGUCUAAAGAAUGCUGGUGCGAUUUACCAGAGAGCAAUGACUACUCUUUUUCAUGAUAUGAUGUAUAAAGAGAUCGAAGUAUAUGUCGAUGACAUGAUUGCUAAAUCCAUUAAUGAAGAGGAACAUGUUGAGCAUUUAUUGAAGCUAUUCCAGCGUUUGAGGAAAUAUAAACUCCGCUUGAAUCCCAAUAAGUGUACUUUUGGUGUUCGUUCUGGUAAGUUGUUGGGCUUUAUUGUCAACGAGAAGGGUAUUGAAGUUCAUCCUGCCAAGGUCAAAGAAAUACAAGAGAUGCCAGCGCCCAAAACUGAGAAGCAAGUCAGAGGUUUUCUCGGCCGCUUGAAUUAUAUUUCCAAAUUCAUUUCCCACAUGACUGCCACAUGUGCGCCUAUAUUCAAGCUUCUUCGAAAAGAUCAGUCUUGUGAUUGGACCGAAGACUGCCAGAAAGCUUUUGACAGUAUCAAGGAAUAUUUGCUUGAACAUCCAAUUUUGUCUCCACCUGUUGAAGGAAGACCGUUGACCAUGUAUCUGACUGUGCUCGAUGAGAGUAUGGGUUGUGUUCUUGGUCAGCAAGAUGAGACUGGAAAGAAAGAAUUUGCAAUUUACUACCUCAGUAAGAAGUUCACCAACUGUGAGACCCGGUAUUCUAUGCUUGAGAAAACUUGUUGCGCAUUGGCUUGGGCUGCUAAGCGUCUGCGUUAGUAUAUGUUGAAUCAUACCACUUGGUUGAUAUCCAAAAUGGAUCCGAUCAAGUAUAUUUUUGAGAAGCCUGCUUUAACUGGGAGAAUUUCCCGUUGGCAGAUGUUGUUAUCAGAGUAUGAUAUCGAAUACCGAUCUCAGAAAGCGAUCAAAGGUAGUAUCUUGGCUGACCAUUUGGCUCACCAACCGAUUGCGUAGCAGAUACCAGUCAGUGUUAAUUGACUUUUCGGAUAAGAUAUUUCUGUUACUUGAAAUGAAAGAUUGUGAUGAACCAUGCUUGAAGAAGGCCAUAACCUGUUCCCGUUGGGGCAUGAUAUUUGAUUGGAGCUGUUAAUCAAUAUGGAAAUGAUUGAGGCAGUCGAUUAUUACUCCUCAAGGCACGCAUCUACCAUUUACAGCUAGAUUGACUUUCAAGUGUACAAAUAACAUGGCAGAAUAUGAAGCUUGCAUUAUGGGGCUUGAAGAGGCCAUGAAUCUCAGAAUCAAGUAUUUGGAUGUCUUAGGAGAUUCCGCUUUGGUUGUGAAUCAAAUCAAAGGUGAGUGGGAGACAAAUCAACCCGAUUUAAUACCAUAUAGAGAUUAUGUGAGGAGGAUUUCAACUUUCUUUACAAAGGUUGAGUUCCAUCAUAUCCCUCAAGAUGAAAACUGGAUGGCAGAUGCUCUUGCAACGUUGGCUUUGAUGAUUGUAGUGAAGUAUUGGAAUGAAGUUACCAAUUUGUCUGUGAUGCGUCUUGAUAGACCAGCUCAUGUGUUUGUUGUUGAAGAGAUUAAAGAUGAGAAGCCAUGGUAUUACGACAUCAAAUGUUUCCUCCAAAAUCAGAUUUACCCGCCUAGGGCAUCUUUGAAAGAUAAGAAGACUUUGAGAAGAUUAACCAACAAUUUCUACUUGAAUGGUGAUAUAUUGUACAAGAGAAACUUCGACAUGGUUUUGCUCAAAUGCGUAGAUAGACACGAAGCAGACUUGUUGAUGACCGAAGUGCACGAAGGUUCCUUUGGUACUCAUUCCAAUGGACAUGCAAUGGCGAAGAAGAUGUUGCGAGCAGGUUACUAUUGGCUGAAAAUGGAAUCUGACUGUUGCAAAUUUGUGAAGAAGUUCCACAAGUGUCAAAUUUAUGCUAAUAAGAUUCAUGUUCCUCCGACACUACUGAAUGUUAUCUCUUCCCCGUGGCCCUUCUCUAUGUGGGGAAUUGAUGUGAUUGGGAUGAUCGAACCCAAAGCUUCGAAUGGACAUCGUUUCAUUUUGGUGGCAUUUGACUACUUCACAAAAUGGGUGGAAGCGGCAUCAUAUGCAAAUGUAACCAAGCAAGUUGUUGUGAGGUUUAUCAAGAAUCAGAUUAUAUGCCGUUAUGGUGUGCCAAGUAAGAUCAUUACUGACAAUGGAUCAAACUUGAAUAAUAAUAUGGUGGAAGCUCUUUGCAAAGACUUCAAGAUUGCACAUCAUAAUUCUUCUCCCUACAGACCCAAGAUGAAUGGGGCUGUUGAAGCUGCGAAUAAGAACAUCAAGAAGAUCAUUCAGAAGAUGGUUGUCAUAUACAAGGAUUGGCAUGAGAUGCUUCCAUUUGCUUUGCACGGGUAUCGUACAUCCAUCCGCACUUCAACAGGGGAAACCCCUUUUUCUCUUGUGUAUGGUAUGGAAGUAGUGCUCCCCGUAGAGGUUGAGAUUCCUUCGUUAUGCGUGCUUAUGGAAGCCAAGUUGACUGAGGUUGAAUUGUGUCAGACCAGGUAUGAUCAACUGAAUUUGAUUGAAGAAAAGAGAUUGACUGCCAUGUGUUAUAGUUAGUUAUAUCAGCAAAGGAUGAAGAAAGCUUUUGAUAAGAAGGUCAGACCUCGUGUGUUCAGAGAAGGUGACCUUGUGCUCAAGAAGAUUUUAUCAUUCAAACCUGAUUCUAGAGGAAAAUGAACUCCUAAUUAUGAAGGCCUUGUAGCAGGGUAUUCGUUACCAUUAGAGAUAUUGACUAAAUCUAAGGUAAACCAUACAAGUCGAGUCGCCACCACACUUCUAUUUAUCCAAAGGAAUGGUUAGAAAGCGAACAAAAACCUAAAAGUUUUAUCGAAUCAAAAACUAGUAAAAGAGUCAGAGAUCUGGGUAAGGGGGUUGGUUAUGCAAUGGGAAGGUGUUAAGCACCCAAAACAUCCUAGGUACUCCUAGGGAGCCCUUUUCAUCUUUGUUGUAAGGCUGGUAUUUUGUGAAAAUUUGUUUGUGCAAACAUGAUUGAAGAGAUGAGAAGAGAAUAUACAAGUUUAUUUACAUUUGUGUUUGGAUGGAUAAACCUAUUGCCUACGUACCAUCUUAAAAAAGAUUAGGAUCAAAACCUCGUAGUUCGGGGUAAAAAUCUCAAAAUGAGUUGGUGAAUUGAUUGGUCCAAAAGCCUUAAGGUCUUUUGUUAUCAAAGGGAGAAAACUCAACCUAAAACCACAAAUCCACCAUGUGAGGAUAACUUCAACAUGCUAGUGAGGGGUUAACCCUAUAAUAAGCAUGGAAGACUCAUUGUCCAUCACUAAGGAUAUAGGUGAGUAUUACAUCUACCUCAAGGAUAACUCAAACCUAAUAGCUAAAGGUUAUGAUUUUUUUUUAAUAAGAAGUGGCCAUUGGAACCACAAAAAGUAUUUGGAUGAGUUAUAUUUACCAAUGAAAAGUAUUUACAAAAUAUAGUCAAAGUUGAUUUAAAAGUUCAAUUCAAAAUAAGUAUUAUGAAAAGAAAGUUUGAAAAUCAAAAGCAUAAGGCUUAGGUUUCUAAUGUUUGAAAAGAAGUGUUAAAUGUUUGCACAAAAGUUUUGGCUUGGGUUAGAGUGGAGAGAAUAAGAAGAAUGGCUAAGGUCCUAAUCGUAUAAGAGAUAAGGGAUAAGAAACAAGACCACAAAUGGAGUUCCUCUCUUGAGAUCAUAUUGAUGAUCCAAGUAGCUCCCAUUCUUUGGAAUAUGCAAGCAAAAUAAUAGUAAGCUCAAGCAAUCAACAAUCAAACAAGCUCUUGGAAAGUUCCUCAAUGGUUCUUAGAUCUCUCUCUCUUAGAAGCUCAUGACAAUGGUUCCUCACUUAGGCUCAAAUGUUGGAAUCCCUAGCACAAGAACACACACAUUAAAAAGUUCUAUCAAACAAAUCAAGAAUGAACAAGCAAGAGUUUAGAAAUUUGUCCUUCCAAAGUUCUCUUUAGCAUUUAUAUCAUUCUAAAUGCCCAAUGCCUAGUUGCCCUUUGACUUUUAUAGCACUCUAAAGGCCCAAUGCCUAGUUGCUCUUUGACUCCAAAUUUGCAUAGGGGGAAGUCCUAAAGUCUAAGUCCAUUUGUCCAUUUCUUUGCAUUUGGUCCACAACAAUCAAAACAAAACACAAGCACAAUGAUAUAUACACAAUUAUGUGCUCAAGUGAGCAAAAGGAAAAUUGCAUUAACAUAAACAUGUGCUCACAGACAAAGGAAAAGCUAAUGAAAAUAUUAACAAAAGUAAAUUGCCAACAUGUAAACAAGAAUAAUGUAAUGUAUGUUAUGUUAAUAUUAGUGACAUAAGAAAAGUAGCGUUUGUAAGCAUCGUAAUACUUAUAGAAUUUACCCACUCUCUAAGCGUCGGUCAAUAUAAAUGUAGGCAACAACACAAGUAACGGUCUGAUAGUGGAUCAAACUCCAACAACUUGCCAUGCCAAAAAGAAGAUGAGAAAUGAUCUUGUAUUGAUUUAGGUCCUUUGCAUGAUUUAGAAAGCAAUCUAUCCUUAAUGAAAAGCCAUUCACUUCAUCCAUGAUCAAGAUGAAUUAGAUUUGAAUCAAGGAAGAUUAAACCUCCCUAAUCAAUGAUAACCAUCAAUCUUUAACUCAUUGAUCAAAAAAAGAAAAAGAAGAAGGAGAAGAAGAAGAUGAAGAAUUAAAGUGCAUAUAAUGGAAAUGUCAUGUACUAAUCAACAAAUGUUGACCAAAGAUAGGGAAGAUCAAGGUCAAACAAUAGAAAACAGAAGCAAGAUGAAGAUUAGACGUCAAGAAACAAGUCAAAUAUUUUUUGAAUUUUUAAUAUUUAAAAUAAAACUUGAAUUAAAAUAAUAAAGAAAGGUCAAACUUCAAACUCACUUCAAAUCAACUUUGAAAAGUCCAAGUGAAUUAUCCGAAGUUCAACAUGGUCAAACAAAGUUUGACAAAAAAUUUCAGCAUUUUUAGAAGUCAUAAACUAUUUUAAAUCAAUUAAAAAUGCAUAAUUUAUUGGAUUAACUUAAUUUUAGAGUUUAUUUAGAGUUUAGAAUUAAUAAAUUGAUGAGAAUAUUUUUCAUAGAUCUAUCAUCAUUCAAAGAGGUUGGAAAAAUAUUUUUGUAAUUUUUGAAUAUCAAAAACUAUUUAAAAUGAAUUAAAAAUGACCAGAAAAGAGAAAAUUACUAAAAAGAGAAAUAAUGCAAUUGGUCCCAUAAUUUUUGGACCAAUAAUGAGAGAGAUAUGAAUUUUUGAAAAUGAAAUGGAAUUAAAAAAUAAAAGAAAAUAGAAAUCGGAAAAUAAAAAUAAGAAAAAAGGAGAAGCGUUGGAUGAUGGCUCAUUAAUUGAGCUGGCACAUAACAUGGCUCCUGAGCGCGUUUCCACCAAGUUCCUUAGUCAAUGCAUCACACAUGGCCAAUUGAAAAGUCAUAACAUUGGGUGGAGGAGAUCUAAUUUGGAAACACAAACGCACAAUCCAGAUUUGAUCUGGAGACCAGACGGUGGCCAGCGCCACCGUCUUCUCCGGCUAGCUCCGGCGAAGGCCAAAAAUUACAAGGAAAUAAAUGUGAACCAAAACGCGCGAUCCAGGUACCAAACGAAAGGUGGAGUGAUGUACAUCGCUCCUAUGCCACUCAAUUCCAUUCUAGAUAUCUAGAUUGAGAGAAAUCAGAGAUGGAAGUUUUGUGGUGUUCAAGUGAACUUGCUUGAUUUUGAAAAUUAAAAGCAUGAAAUGAUUGCCUCUAUGAAGAGGACUUCAGCCAACACCAAAACAACAAGACAGAGAUGGAAGUUUUGUGGUGUUCAAGUGAACUUGCUUGAUUUUGAAAAUUAAAAGCAUGAAAUGAUUGCCUCUAUGAAGAGGACUUCAGCCAACACCAAAACAACAAGAAACAAGCAAUAUAUGAAUUGAUUCGAAGAAAUCAAAAUCAGAAAUAAACCUUUGAUUUGCAGAGCUUGGAUUCAAGAUUCCUUGGUGCUAAAGCUUGCAAUUCACUUUAUGGAUGAAGGAGAAGAGGUCUAGGAACUUUUAGAUCUAAGAAAACAGUCGAGGAAACUGAAUUCUAGAUCUGAAAUUUUGAGAGAAAAGAGAGAGUUCCUUUGGUGUGGGUGAUGGGAUUUCAGUUGCACAACAUGUAGGGCGCCUUAAGGUUGAAGAAAUGAGAGGCCAAGCACUUCUAUAUAUAGCAAAUGGCAAUGGAGAAGCAUGAACAAAGCAUUGCAUGGGAGAAGAGGGCCUCCAUGCAUGGGCAUGUACAUGUACAUGGAGGGCCCAAUUCAUAUUGGAAUUGCAAGAUAUACAUCACCAAAUAUGAAUUGGAUGUGCAGAUUGGAUGUUAAUGGAUCAUGCAUGGCAAUUGGAAUGGUUUUCAUAAAAUGCACUAUUACAUUAAAGCCUUCGAAAAUGCCAUGUCCAAAAUCAAAAUGCAACCGUAUGAGUAAUGGUUGGAAAGCUUGUUGUAUAAGGAACAAAUGUCAUGUUGAUCAAAACUUCGUUUGGGCCUUGGAAAAUAAUGAAAUUUGAGCUUGAAGUGUAGGGUGCAAAAGAUGCAUUUGUGAAAUUUCAAAAAUUGGCCAAUGUUCAAGCCCUUCUGUCUCAGUGAUACAAGCUCCAAAUGACAAAAUCUUAAACAUGAAAGUUAUAGAUAUUUUCAAGGCAAUCAAUUUGGACUUAAAUUUUGCAUCAUUUGGAUUUUUUAUGAAUAAGUUAUGGGUACUUGAAGUUGGACUUUUUCACAUUUCAAGGCAUUUGGUCCAAAGUGACCUAUAAUGUUUUGCAUUAUCACAUGUAUUUCUUUUGAGAUUUUGCAAUUUUGCUCAACAUAACAUUUUAAGUAGACACAAUAAUAUUUCCAAUUAAUUAAGUCUCACCUCAAAAUCAAGAAAAAUGAAUGAGUUAUGUUCUUGGGAAGUUGACCCAAAAUUAGGGUUUCAAUCAAAAUGACCUAUAAUGUCUUGGAAUGGAUGAUGACCUUCCAAGCUUCAAAUCAAAUUUUGAUGAACAUUAAAGUUGUUCAUAUGGUUCUUAAGAACAUGUUUUCUCUUGGGGUCAUCUCCAUUUGACAAACACAUUAAAAGUUAGGUCUCAGUGCAUUUCAAAAUAGUCAAAUGAAUUGACUGACCAACUUCUCAAGUCCAAAGCUCAUAUUUUGAUGAAUUGAUGAUUGAGGAAACUCAAUUAAGUUCAAAUAUGUAUUAAAUGAUGAAUUAAAGAACUUCCCUUGAUUGUAUUUGACCAUGGGUUGAGGUUGCUUCAUGAGCAAGGCAUUAUUGAUGAACAGAUGAAUUAUGAUUUCCUUGGGAAACAAGCCUCAAACCCCUUGAUUUGCUUUGAUCAAAAUGAUGAAUUGAGACAUUUGGGAGGCAUAUUUGAUGGAUGAGAGCUUUGGGAACCAUUUCCAUGUUUGCUUUCAUUUCUUCUUGACCAUAUCAUUGCACAUAGGAUCUCCUAGAAGCUUUUGACCUUGUGACUGCUCAAGCUACAAACAAGAGAUGUUAGUGACAUAUUUUUGUGCUUUUGGUUAGUAAAUAAAAUGAGAAAAGCAAUAAUGUACAAUUCAAGCAUGCUUGGUGAUCUCAAACCAACUCACAAGAGAUCCCACCCAAAGGCAAAGGGAACCAAGAUGCUUAUGAUCCUUGAGGCAAUGUAAAUGCAAUGUUAUGAUGCUAUGAGGGAUCUUAGGGUCAAAAUUAGGGUCUUAUAGGCCUAUAUGUUGUUAAGAGAGCCUUUUCAGGCAGUGCAUUAAUACUUACAACUAUGGAUGGUGAAGAGUUUACUCGUCCUGUGAACGCAGAUGCAGUCAAGAAAUACUUCGUCUAAAAAAGAAAAGAACAACUCACUAAGUUGAAAACCCGAAAGGGCGAUCCAGGUAAAAAUUAGAGACAUAAAACAGAAAGAAUUUCCCGAUAAAUUGAGUACCCCACCUUGGGGAAACUUAUGCAAAAAUUAGGGAUUAUGGCAAGUAACUGCAUUAUGCUGAUCUUCAGUGUUUUGAAGACUUGUUUGAGCAUAAGGGUUGACAUCAAUUCAUCAUCCCGGCGGCGGUCGAGAGCACAUUGGAUAUUAAGAGUUGGUAGAAAGAUUAAGGAUCAUUCAUAUUCAAUGUAACCCUUUUCCAUGUAAAUUACCAUUUUCAGCUUUGUAAAAAAAUCUACGGAGUCUUGUCAUUUACAUACUACCAUUCUAUCAAAUAAAGUUGAGCUUUUAUCCAAUUGUUUCUACUCUUAUUUACUUCAGCCAAUAGCUUAAAUUUUAUUAUGAUCCUUUUUUGAAAAUUUAAAGUUUUUAAAGUUUUUUUCUUAAAACAUAUAAAAGCAAGGACUUUCCAAAGCAAUUGAAAGAAAUAUCAACAAUAUUCUGAUGGAUAACAAGUCCUUGAGUGUGAAACAUCAGAGGUUCCCCAAGCAGUUAAACCUUCGGGUAUCCCUAGACGAUUGUGUUGAUUCAAUUCCUCAACGGAAUUUUUGAUUCCCCAAUAGAGCUUCUUUCCUUUUUCUUAGCUGAGUUGGUUGAUUCAGGUACCCUGCGACUUGUCUCCCUCGACAGAGUUUCUGCCUUCCCCAGUGGAGUUUGGUUUCCGUCAGCAGAAAUGGUCGAUCUCCCCAAUAGAUCGCAUUGGUUUCCCCCACCAAUCGCCAAUCAACUUGCUCCCCAGUCAGAGUUUCCUCCUGGUUCCUAAGCAGUUUAUUUCCCUGUAGGGUUGUCUCCCAUGUUUAUGGUGUUGACCUAAAAUUCCCCACAGGUUCGGUGAUAUCUCUCCUCAGCAGAUCUCCUCUUUCCCCAGUUAGGGUUGAGCCUUUUUGGAUUGUUGAUCUCUCUGUUCUCCAACAGUUGUCUCCAUAUUUUGUCGAUUGACCGAGGAUUGUACCGAUGAUUCAAUUUCUUUGCGACACCUUUGUAUCCUUUGUGAUCGUCCUUGUCAGCAUAAUCAUCAUAUACAUAUACAUUCAUAUAAUUUCAUAUUUACAUAUUUGCAUAUCUGAUUAAAUUAUUGGUUUGAGAUUCUCAUUCCCUGUAUGGCGGUACUUUAUCCCCAUACAAAUUUCGGUGUUUUUCCUCCCUUAAUUGUAGAGCGUCAGCCCCUUAGGCAGAAAGACUUUAACCUUUCUCCUCUUCCCCAUUGAGUUUGUUUCCUCGUGGAUGAUUAUUAUUUCAGUUUCCUCCCCAGUUGUUUAUCUGGAUGGAACCACUCCCCUUGAGUUAUGUCCUCAUUGGGUUGAGUCUUGAUUGACUGUUUCUUUCUAGCUCCUACCUAGAUAGAUACUUUGAAUUCCCUAAGAGUCUAUUGCCCAGUAACUGGUAAUAUUCUUCUUAGUUUGCAGUUUGUUAUUUCUUGCCAAAUACCCGGCAAAAGUGUCCCAGUAGUAGAGUCCCCAACGGAUCUGAUUCCCCAGGAAGUAUAUCCUUGAUAUGUUCACCCUAACCGAUGACGAAUUUUCUUCCCUGUUGAGUUUAUCCUUGAUAUGUUCAUCUUAACCGAUGACGGAUACUCUCACCCUUGGUCUUCUGCCCAGUAACUGGUAGUUGUAAAUCCUAUUUUCUGCAGUUUUCCCCAGCAAGGCUAUUCUUACCCAGUAACCGGUAAUUAAUUUCCUUCUGUUAUUUCCCAGCGAGUCAUCCUUGAUAUGUUCAUCCUAACCGAUGACGGAUGUUCUCUCUAUCAGAUUUUUAUUAUCUCCUUACCCAGUAACAGGCAGUAGAUGGUAGAUUUCUGCUCCUCCCGCGUUGAAGUUUAUUCCUCCCCAGCUGAGUUGAGUGCGUAUUUCCUUAGUGAAAUCGCUUUCCCUGCAUGACUCAAGUAUUUUAGUUUUAUCCUGACUUACUCGUAUCCCCUGUAGAUGUUGUUAGCUCCCCGGCUGAGUCUUUUCCAUGUUUGUAUGGAAUCCCUCGAGUCCCCCAGUAGUUUUAAGUCGUAGCCUGGCCUGCGCAUAACUCUUUUAUCCCCUAGAGUCUCUGUCUCCCCAGUAAGUUUUCCUUACGGAAUGCAUAAUACUCCCGCGGACCUUCGGUUUCUCUGAUUUCUUUUCCUUUGUGGCAAUAUUUCCCCACAAAUGAAUUUACUUUUGCAUUCAUAUCAUAUGCAUCACGAGGUCUCUUAGGGACCAAAAUUGGUUUCUAUAUGUUGUUAUUUAAGCCCAUUCUACUGAGUCGACAUGAAGAUUUUAACCUUCGCCUCCUCAGUUAGAAUGUCCUUAAAUAAGGGCAAUUGUAAGACCCCAAUUUUGACCCUAAGAUCCCUCAUGCAAUUUCAUCAUAUGAAUUAGCAUUGGGAUCAUACCUUGGCAUCCUCCUUACCUCUCUCUCAUUGGGUUUGUUGUAGGAGAGAUCACCAAGAACUUUGUGAUUGUAUCAUACUUGUAUUUUAUCAUUUUACUAACCAAAAUAACAAAAAUAUGCCUUUGCAUUUGCCUAACUCUUUUGUAGGUAGGGCAUGAUCUCCCUUGAUCUAUCAAGUUAAUAUCUAGGGUUUGAGACCCUCAUGACAAAGAGCACAACCAUGAAUUUAUGCAAGAAUGGUUAUGAGCAUCAUAUAUAAGUCCCAAUGAUUUCUACAUGUUAUGUUGAUCAAGCAUUCUUCAAGAGUUUGAGGGUAAUUUGCCUUGGAAACCCUAGUUUGACUAGGUAUCUUGAGUAACUUCUCCAACAAGCUAUCUCACCAAUUGAUCAAAUUUCUCAAGGUACACUUCAAAAUUCAUCAUCUUAUGCAUAUAUGAUCUACCAUUGGAAACCCUAGUUUGACUAGGUAUCUUGAGUAACUUCUCCAACAAGCUAUCUCACCAAUUGAUCAAAUUUCUCAAGGUACACUUCAAAAUUCAUCAUCUUAUGCAUAUAUGAUCUACCAUGAGCCUAGAAAGUCAAGAGAAUUGAAGGUUGGCAAGUUGGUUGAUGGUGGUUGACCAGAUGAAUUCAUCUGAUCAAAACUGGGUCUCCCUAGACCUUAUCUCCUACAAUUUUCACCAUAUGAAAAUGAUUCCAAGAGAAAAGUUACUCUAAAUUACAUUCCAAACAACUUUCAUGUUGAGACCUAGAGCUAGUUUUGCUUGUAAAAUCAUUUUAUAUGUGUAAACAUUAUAGGUCAUUUUGUCUAAACCCUAAUUUGAAAGUCAACUUUCACCAUAUGAAAGAUUUCCAAGUUGCACAAUCAAAUUAAAGAUGUCUAAUUCAACUUUGAUGUUUGGAGUGAGAGCUAAUUCAACUUUUAUGAGCAUGUGAUAUGAGACUACAUUAUAGGUCACUUUUGACCUAUACCAUUGAACAAGUGAUUUUUCCAAACUUCAAAAAUGCAUAACUCUAUCAUUUCAAAUCCAAAUGACAUGAAAUUGGUGACCACUUUGAAGGUAUUUGAAAGCGAUACAACUUUUAUGAAGACAUUUUUCUCAUUUGAAGCUCACAUAAAAAGUUAAGCAAAGUGGAAUAUUGAGAUGUAUGACUUGACACUUAGAAAAAAUUUCAACAUGUUGAAAUUGCCAAACUUCCACCUCAAAAUUCAUCAUGAUAAAAGAUUCAAAUGGAAAAGUGUUAAAAAUCAAAGUUGUUCCUCUUGAUCUAACCUUUCCAAAAAGUCUGGGUUCAUCCAUUUUGGACAAGAAUUGCUAGGGCUGCGCAUGGCAUGAACAUGGUAUCAUCAUUUGGCAAAGAUCAAACUUCAAAUCUUCACACACACUUGCCUUGCAAUCCAAGUUGAUUUCAGACUCUCUUACACUCAUUAGGCUGCGCAUGGCAUGAACAUGGUAUCAUCAUUUGGCAAAGAUCAAACUUCAAAUCUUCACACACACUUGCCUUGCAAUCCAAGUUGAUUUCAGACUCUCUUACACUCAUUUGUGGACCUAAAGCAACGAUCUCAUGGGCCUGUACACGCCCAUGCAUCCAUGCAUCAUCAAUUUCCAAUUUUGGAAAGUGAUUUGGAAGGUGCAAAUAUCAUGAGCUACAGCUAUAAAUAGAGACCUCUAGCAUCAUAAUUGAACACACACUCGCGCCAGCUUUGAUCCUAAACCCCUAACCCUUCCAUUUGAGAGGAUAAUCCUGAGAAUUUCAUCUUGAAAUUGCGUUUGAAUCUCACUGUUUUGAGAUUCAAAACUCCAGGGAUCCAAGACCUUUUAUGUAUUUCAUUCUACUCCUGCAAGCAUUCUGAGUGAGAUCAAGCACGAGCCAAGGCAAGAGCAGUUGAAUUCAGACCUACAUUGAAGAUAUUUUCCAAAAAAUUUCAUCUCUUUGAUUCUCUCUCAAUCUUGCUCAAUUCUCUUGAUUCUUUGAUUGUCUGAAGUCCUACCAAUGUAGGCAAGAAGAUUGAGUUGCUUAGAGGUCAAAUCGAAGCAACUCAGUUAACAUACCUCAAAAUUCUACUCCUCAUAUCUUUCUAUAUGUGAGGAGUUAGUCAAAAUUGAGGUGAUAUUCGUGACCUACACCAUUUUUCCUUUCAGAUCAUGUCCUCUUUUUUCAUUUUUGAUGUGGUGAUGAAUGGACCAGUCCGGCCAAGGUCGCCUGAGAAGACGACAAGCGCUUUGCUCCGACAAUGAGGGUGCAAGGUCCAGAGCCAUUGGAUUGAUUCAAAAUGUUUAAUCGGGAACGUUGCUUGUGAUGACCAAGUGUGUGGCACGCUGACUAGCGUGUACCAUGGAACGCGCAUUUCUCACCACCUUAUUUGCCACCUCAAUUAAUGAGGCAGAUCAAGUGCUCCACGUUUUUUUAUUUUCUGAUUUUAAUUUUUAUUCCUUUGAUUUUCAUUAAUUCAUAUUAAUUUUAAUAUUGAUCCAAAAAAUAUGAGAGUUUCACCCAAAAUUUUCAAAUAUUUUCCUCUUUCAUAUUCUGAAUUAAAAUUAUUUUUUGGAUCAUUAUUAAUAUUUUUCAUGAUUUAAUUGAUUUUUCAUUUGUUUUUAAUUGUUUAAAAAUACUUUUAAGUCUUCUAAAAUUCUGAAAAGUUUUCUCCAAGGUCCUUUGACCUUGUUUGACCUCUGAUAAAUCUCAUGACCAUUUAUUUUGUGUUUUGAUGAGGUUUUAGGAAUUUGAUAAGCCAUAUUUAAUUUAAAUGUAUUAUUUUAGUAUUUUUAAUUGGAAUAAAUGCCAAAUAAUUUUGUUGACCAAUUGUGUUGACUUGUUGGUGUUUGACUCUUGUUGUUAGGCCUUGGUCAAGGUUGAUUUGACUUUGUCAAAUUAAUAUCAUUGGAUUUAGGGGAUUGAUGGAAUGUACAUUCCAUCUCCCAAAAUGAAUGAAUAAUAUUAAUUUGAUAAAAGUCCUCCUUUGAUCAAUUUGAGAUUUCAUCUAUUCCCCUCCCUCUUCAUCUCAUUCCCCUUCUUUAUGCAUUCAUCUCAUUUGGCCUAUGAUAUCUCAAAGUCCUAAAGCUAGUUGAUUGAAAAAUUAACAUGACUAUGGAUGAGAUUAGGCCACACCUUUUACAUAUUCUUUUUGUGUGUGGUAUGUUUCAUGAGCAUAGUUCAUAAUACUAUGUCUCUAACAUGCAUUAAGACCAAAAUUCUAUUGCCCGGCCUCAAAUAGUUGUGACUUCUACAUAAGUCCAAUUAUGAUUGCUUAACAUAGCGCUAAGUUUGUGACAUAAAAGGCAUAACAUUCUAGUUAGUGAGAUUGUAAGUCUCCCUUCUUUCAUGGUAUUGUGUGGAAACUUUUCAUUUUUCCUUUCCUUUGGAAGAUGUCUUGGUUUAAAGAUCCAUGCUUGUGAUAAGUAGGUUGAGUGUUCUCCAAAGAAUGUCUUAGAAUGAAAAGCAAAAACAAAACAAUACUAACUUCUAACCUAUUAACUACUAACUUUUAAUUUCAAGCCAUUUACUUUAAUGCCAUUUAAUUCUAGCUUUUAUACAUUUGCCAUUGUUCAUAUCAUUCUAAUUGUUUAAUUUCAAGCCAUUUACUUUAAUGCCAUUUAAUUCUAGCUUUUAUACAUUUGCCAUUGUUCAUAUCAUUCUAAUUGUUUAUGUUAAUGCAAUUUUCACUUUGUCCACUUGGACCAUAUUGUGUGAUAUUUCUUGUUUGUGUAUACUUUGCUUGUUUGUGUGGUCUUUGACCAUUAAUGUACAUAAUAACAACAAAAACCCUAAAAAACUUUUGUAUGGACUGUUGGCUUGAUCUUGGACAAAUGGAAUUAGAAUUUAGGCAACAUUCCUAUGCUAAAGGACUUGGCCAAUGCCAACUUAUUGAGAAGCAAGUGCUUGCAAUUUGAACUUCGUCUAAUACAUCAUUCAAGAUCUCUCUGAGUUCAUCUGCAACAUGAUCAUUGUGAAGCUGUUUUUUUGAACAUGUGACUUGUGAAAUUCAUCUGUUACAUGGGCUCCCUUGAAGAAGAUCGUGGAAUGGAUAAGCUUGGAUGUGGCCAUCUUUAUUUGAUGUAUUGCUCUUCAAGAUAAUAUAAUUGUGCAUUUGUAUGUUGCUUGAUUCUAAAAAGUCCAAAGGGAAUUCUGGGUUUCUAUUGACAUUCUUGUCUAUUGGAUUGCUACCCACUUGGUCAGAUCUUUUCAACUCUAAACUUUUAAUUUUGUACAUAGGAUUAGUCUCUUCAUCUUCUCCCCAUUUCUUAUCUAUUGGAUUGCUACCCACUUGGUCAGAUCUUUUCAACUCUAAACUUUUAAUUUUGUACAUAGGAUUAGUCUCUUCAUCUUCUCCCCAUUUCUUUAAUUUCAAAAUAUCUCCCUCCUUUUUCAAAAUCUUCUUUGAUUGAACUUAUUUUUUUCUAAACUUUGACCAAUUUUGCAAAAAAGAUAGAAACUUUGGCCUUAUGCGAUUGCAUUUUCAAACUUCUUUUCUUAAAUGAAACUUGUAAAUGGACUUAACUAUACUUGACUUAAACUUCCAAAAAGCCAAAAAGAACUAACUCAUUCAAACCAUUUUUUAGGCCUUUGUGCCUUUCAAACUUAAUUUUUGUUAAAAGUAAUGUAUCCACUUUGAAAUUUGUAUCCCGAACUACGAGGUUUUGAUCCCUCAUUUUUAUGUUGGUACGUAGGCACAAGACCAAAGGUCUUGCCAAACACAAAAAUAAAAUUAAUGAAUUCUUUUCUCAUCCCCCCAUUAUAUUUGUCUGUAAACAUCACUUUCUACCAAAUACAUAUGCACACAAAAAGGGCUCCCUAGGAGUACCUAGGACACUUUGGGUGCUAACACCUUUCCUCUGUGUAACCACCCCUUUUACUUGUAAUCUCUGAUAUUUUAUUAGUUUUGAUUUGAAAACUUCUUACUUUUGGGUUUUGUUCGUACUUUUUCCCUUUUUCCUUGGAAACAAUAAAAGCGCGGUGGCGACUCUUGUUAUUUGAUCUCUAGCUUAUCCAUAGCUUGAUGAUCAUGAAUUUACUGCUACAGUUAAUACAAGUAAAUGUUAGUAAAUGAUGUUAGUAAUAAAAAAUGAAAGAUGGUUUGGUCAUUUUUUGGAGAACACUCAACUAUUCUCCCACAAGCAUGAAAGUAUGAACCUAUACAUCAUUAUGAGAAGGGCUCUAACUUAGAUAAAACUCGACAAGUAUGCCACUAGCUCUCACAAAUGAAAAGGGAGCAAUAUUUUCAUGCAAUACCAUGAGGAAUAUGAGACUUACAAUCUCACUUAUAAAAAUGACUUUGCUUUCGGGACAAAUUUAGUGCUAUGUUAAGCAAUCAUAAUUGGAGUUAUGUAGAAGUCACAACUAUCUGAGACCAGUCAAUAAUAAUGUUAGUGUUAAUACAUGCUAGAGAAAUGAUAUGUAAAUCAUUCUCCUAAAGCCAUGCCACACAAAAAAUAAGAAAAAAACAGAAUAAUCAAGCAUAAAGGCUAGGAUGAUGAUCCAUUACUUCAAUCCAUACUUCAUGACACUUUGGGACGAACUUAUGCAUCACUCGAAAGUACCUUAAAUUAUCCAUGAUCAAUUAGGAGGUAGAUUUGAAAUAAUGAAAGUUCAUCAGAGAAGUUUCAGAAACAAGCAAGCCACGGAAAAAAAUUAAAUGAUGAACGCGAUCAAUCAACACCAGCUAAGUUAGAGGAAAGCAUCAGAGAGUGAAAGACUACAUUAUGGUAACUUGUUUGAGUUCAAAUGAUGCUCAAAACUAUUUUGUCCAAAUGGUGAUCAGAAGUUGAUGAAUCUCUAUUUGGUUAGAGCACUUCAGAAGGUCUCAGAGCUUGGGAAUUGUUGCAAAAGUUUUAAAGGAUGCCGAAAAUGCUAAUGGAAUCAACAAAUUGGAUUGAAAUAAGCUGAAACUAAAAAUACGAUAGUUAAUUUUUUCUAUAAAAUUUCAAGUUGCGGCAGGGAUUUCUUGGCUCUCAAAAGCUUGGAAAUGAAUGCAAUAACUUCCUUUAUUUAUAGGGAGUGUGUUUGGAUCCAAAUACGUGUGGAAUGAUGUUGAAUUCGUGCAAAACGAAUUUGAUCCGAAUGUGAGAAAUGUGUGACUUGUAACUCAUUAAAACUUAGCCAAGUGAUACAUUUCAAUGGUCAAUUAACUUCUGGAGACUUUGUUAAACAUGUUUAGGUCCAAAACACAUGCUAAUUUGGCUUGUAAUUAAGAUUAGUGAAGUUCAAAUUUCUGGCAAUGGUGAUUUCUUCAGUUCCAAGUCACCAUGUUCAACCUAAUAGGGCAUCCUACUCAGGAAGCUUUUUUAUCCCAUUUUUUUGCAAUGUUUUGACAUCAUAGCAAAGAUUACAAUAUGCCAAUAAAGGUUGCAUUUGGAUGUUUGAGCACAAAGUUAUGUCAUGUUGAAGUUGGCAUGAAAAACUGAUCGUAUAACUUAGAAAAAUUUGAGUGCUCCAUGACUAAAAAUGACUUGUAAUGUCUCAAUGAAUUCCAUGGCCUUCCAAGUAUAUUUUGACCUUGAUCCUUGAAGAAAACUUGUAAAGCGCAUCAUAAAUGACAUUGAUCUAGAAUAAUCAGCCUCAAACGUUGAAAAUUUAAGAAGUUAUGAUCUUUGAAAUUGAGAAAAAGUCACUUGAAAAUAGGUCAAAUUUCACUCCACAAAUGACCUAUAAUGUCUUCAAACUUUUGAUGAUCCUACAAGCAUAAUUGGUUCUUAUCAAGUAAAUAUAAGUUGUAGAGGAUGUUGAGAAGAGUCAUAUGCAAAAAGAAGAAUUCAAUUUUUUUGAGAAUUGAAGGAGUUGUGAUCCUUGGAACUUUGAAUUCAAAUGUUGACUUUUUGGUCAAACCACUUGGAACAAGCUUGUGUAUUUGGACUUUCCUUGCAUGUCAAAGCACAUAGGAGAUCAUAUGAACUCAAAAUAAAGUGCCCUUAACUUCCUCUUGAUUAAAUUUUUCAAAGUUUGAAGUUUCUUGUUGAAGUGGAAAUAAGCACAUGAACCUUUGACUUUCCUUUAGAAGUAAGUAACAAAACUUUGAGAUGCUCUUGAUUGAAAACCCCUACCUUGCACAAUAAGUUUAAGGAAAUUGAGCAUAUUUUUGAUAUUUUGAUUAGUGGUUAGAUAAGUAAUUAAUUAUAUAAACACAAAGGUAAAACACCAACAAAGAGGUGCUUGGUGAUCCCUGCAAGAAGCAAACCCAAAGAUGAGAGGGAGAGGGACCAAGAGGUGACCUUGUUUGUGUGCAAGGAUGCCAAUGAUAUGUGGGAUCUUAGGUUUAAAAAUUAGGGUAUGACAUGUAGGCCUUGGAUCCAUAUUGUAGGCGCAGUUACUUCUACUCUCCAUUAUAAGAUGAAGUUUGCAAUCAAAGGAAAAUUGAUCAUAGUAUCUAGUGAAGAAGACAUGUUGAUCAACCAUCUUUCAUUGUUCCGGUAUGUAGAGAAUGAGGAAAGGGACUUGGAUACUUAUUUCCAAGCCCUUGAAAUUGCUAAUGUAGUAUUCUUGGAGGAAAAGAACCAAGAUGCAACUGUGAGCUCGUCAUUUGCUUCUUUGAAAGGGGCUAAGGCAAUGCUUAAGAAAGGGAACCAUGAAGGUUGGGGCAAGGUGAUCAACAUGCCAUAAAAGAGAGAUUGCUUAGGAGUAGGGUACAAGAGUCUAAUAGAGAGAUAUGUCCAAGAUCCUGCAAAGACCAAAGUCUGAAGUUUCCAAGAGGUGUUCUACAGUGUUGGUUUCAUCCAUGACUAUCAAGUAGUUGCUUUAGAAGACAUCAUGAUGGCUCAUAGGACACCCUGUCUGGUGUACCACUAUGUUAUUGCUCUGGACAAUUAGGAAUCCAUUGAUUUACACAAAGUAUUUCAUUUUCCAAAGUAAUUUGUUUUUUCUCAAAUCUUUUUGCUCUGCCCAAGGGUUAAGGAUCAUAUGUAGGGCCCCUUUGUCUUAAAUGAUUAUUAUCAUUACUAAAAGCAUUUUGUCUUAAGAAAAUGGCAACCUUUUUGAAGAACUACAAAAACUUUUUUUUCAUUUUAUUGUUUUCCCACUUUCUAAAAUCAACAUUAAAAUCAUACAGAAGCAUGAGGACACCUGUUGAACUCGUUGAACUCAAUAACGCUACAAUAUCUCAUAACUUUAAACAUCUCCUUAACCAAGCUAAAGAGGAGCAUGAGGACGAGUGUGAUUUUCCUGGAGAGAUGGCAAGGCUACUCGAGCACGAGGCCAAAGUUAUUCAACCGCAUCAAGAGCCGAUAAAGGUCAUCAAUCUGGGAAUAAAAGAAUAAAAGAGAGAGGUAAAGGUUAGGAAUACUCUCGAAGACAGCAUCAAAGAGAGGUUGGUCAAGCUUUUAAAAGAAUAUGUGGAUGUGCUUUCCUGGUCAAAUCAAGAUAUAACUAGACUAUACACAAAUAUUAUGGAGAACCGACUACCACUUCGACCAGAGUUCCCGCCUAUGAAGCAAAAAUUUAGGAGAACCAGACCCGACAUGCCCAUUAAGAUCUAGGAGGAAGUCAAGAGACAGUUCGAUGCAGGAUUUUUUAGCAGUGUCAAAAUACCCUUAAUGGGUCGCUAAUAUUGUACAUGUUCCUAAAAAGGAUGGUAAAGUAAGGAUGUGUGUUAAUUAUAUGGAUUUGAACAAAGCCAGUCCAAAGGAUGACUUCCCUCUGCCACAUAUUGAUACACUAGCGAAUAACACUGACAAGUUUUUUGUCUUCUCAUUCAUGGAUGGGUUCUCAGGAUAUAAUCAGAUCAAGAUGGCUCCUGGAGAUAUGGAAAAGAUCAUGUUCAUCAUUCCAUGGGGAAUGUUUUACUCUAAGGUGAUGCCCUUCGAUCUAAAGAACGUUGGGGCAACUUAUCAAAGAGCGAUGGUCACCCUCUUCCACAACAUGAUACACAAAGAAAUAGAAAUAUAUGUCAAUGAUAUGAUUUCCAAAUCAAAAAUCAAAGAGGACUAUAUGGAUCACUUGCAGAAGUUGUUUGAGCGUUUGCGGAAGUUCAGAGUUCGGUUGAAUCCUGGCAAAUGUACAUUUGGUGUCUGAUCCAGAAAAUUGCUUGUGUUUAUCGUCAGCCAACGAGUAAUUGAAGCAGACCCUAUCAAAGUCAUAAUUAUUCAAGAGAUGCCCACUCCACGUACAGAAAGAGAAGUCAGAGGUUUCCUAGUAAGAUUGAAUUACAUCUCUAGGUUUAUCUCUCACAUGACAGCUACAUGUGAGCCUAUGUUCCAAUUGCUAAGAAAGAAUCAAGCGGUAAAAUGGAAUGUUGAUUGUCAAAGAGAUUUUGAGAAGAUACAAUGCUAUUUGAAAGAACCUCCCAUCUUCGUUCCACCUGUUCCCGGAAAACCACUCAUUAUGUAUCUGACUAUUUUAGAAGAGUCAAUGGGUUGCGUACUGGGGCAACAAGAUGAAACGGGAGGGAAAGAGCCUGCUAUUUAUUACUUGAGAAAGAGGUUUACUGAUUGUGAAACCAAAUAUUCAUUCUUAGAGAAAACAUGUUACACACUAGCACGAGCCGCACGCCAUUUAAGAAAGUACAUGAUAUGUCACACUACUUUGUUGAUCUCAAAAAUGGAUUCGAUAUAGUACAUUUUCGAGAAGCCUGCCUUGACCGAAAGACUUGCCCGUUGGCAAAUGCUACUAUCUGAGUAUGAUAUCCAGUACGUCACCUAAAAGGCCAUCAAAGGGAGCAUAUUGGCAGAAUAUCUUACACAUCAUUCUUUGGAAGAUUACCGUUCCAUAAAGUUUGACUUCCCAAAUGAAGAUAUCAUGGUCCUAAAAGAGUGUAACAUCCCAAAUACUGAUGUACCCGAACAUGGACAUGGUAUUGGAGUUGUUAUAGUCUCUCUGAAUGGUGGUUUCACCCUUUUUACAACAAGAUUGUGUUUUGAUUGUAUGAAGAAUAUGGAAGAACACGAGGCCUGCAUCCUCGGUAUUAAAUCCUCAAUCGACCUCCGCAUCAAAAAUCUUGAAGUAUAUGAGGACUCCACUUUGGUAAUUUGUCAAAUCAAAGGAGAAUGGGAAACUUGUGACUCCAAGUUGAUUCCUUAUCGCGCUUAUGUCAGAGAAUUGGUAAAGUAUUUCAAUGAUAUUACUUUUGAUUACAUUCCAAGGGCAGAAAACCAGAUGAAAAAUGCUUUGGCUACAUUGGCCUCAAUGUACCAAGUUAGAUUCCGCAAUGAAGCUUCACUAAUUAUAAUAUAGCAAAAUACUGAGCCAUCCUAUUGUCAGUCAGUCAAAGAAGAAAUCGAUGGCAAUCCAUGGUUCCAUGAGAUCAAAUGUUACCUAGAAACACAAGAAUAUCCAGCAAGCACUUCAGCUAUAGAUAAGAAGACUCUGAGAAAGUUAGCAUCCAAAUUCUUCUGAGUAAUGGUGUGUUAGAAAAAAGAAAUCAUAACAUGGUCCUGCUCAGAUGCGUGGAUAGACAUGAAGAGGACAUGCUAAUCAAAGAAAUCCAUGAAGGGUUAUUCGGAACUCAUGCCAAUGGGCAUGCCAUGGCGAAGAAAAUUCUAAGGGCUUCCUAUUACUGGUUGACAAUGGAAACUGACUAUUUUUGUUAUGCCAAAACUUGCCACAAGUGUCAGAUUUACGCCGAUAAGGUGCAUGUUCCACCUACUCCUCUGAAUGUUUGAACAUCCCCUUGCCCAUUCUCAAUGUGGGGUAUCGACAUGAUUGGUGCCAUAGAGCCUAAAGAUUCUAAUGGUCAUCAUUUCAUCUUGGUCACCAUUAAUUAUUUCACGAAAUGGGUGGAAGUUGCUUCCUACACCAAUGUGACGAAACAAGUGGUUUCCCGCUUCCUCAAGAAAGAGAUUAUUUGUCUCUAUGGAACUCCUAGCAAGACCAUCGCAUUUAAUGGGACAAAUUUGAACAACAAGAUAAUGAAAGAUUUAUGUGAAAACUUCAAGAUUGAUCAUCAUAAUUCUUCUCCUUAUCGUCCAAAGAUGAAUGGCACUAUUGAAGUCGUAAAUAAAAACAUUAAGAAAAUCUUGUAGAAGAUGGUAAAGACUUAUAAGGAUUGGCACGACAUGCUACCAUUAGCAUUGCAUGGAUACUGGACAUCAACAUGUACUUCAAUAGGGGAAAUCCCUUUCUCUUUGGUAUAUGGGAUGAAAGAAGUUCUACCGAUCAAAGUAGAGAUCCCUUCAAUGAUAAUCUUGAUGGAGGUCGAGGUUGAAGAGGCUGAAUGGAUUCAAAACAAAUUUGACCAGUUGAACCUCAUUGAUGAGAAGUGGGUGAUCUCUUUAUGCCAUGGGAAAUUGUAACAGAAGUGACUCAAGAGAGCAUUUGAUAAGAAAGUCUGCUCUCGAGAAUUCAGAGAAGGUAAUCUUGUGCUCAAGAAGAUCUUGCCUAUACACAAAUAUUCACGCGGAAAGUGGACACCAAAUUACAAAGGCUUAUAUGUUGUUAAGAAAACUUUCUCUAGAGGAGCUCUAAUUCUUACAACGAUGGAUGAUGAGGAGCUUCAACAUCCGGUAAACUCCGAUGCAGUCAAAAGAUAUUGUGCAUAGAAAAAAAGACACCUGGCUAAGUCAAAAACCCGAUAGGGUGACUUAGGCAAAAAGGGGCAUCCUGGUGGACUGAAAACCCGAAAAGGCGGUCUAGACAAAAAUUAUGGAUAUAAAAAAUGUGUGAGUUCGCUAAGUUAAAAACCCGAAAGGGGGAUUUAGGCAAAAAAGAUCAUCCCAAUGGAUUAAAACCUAAAAGGAAGAUCCAAGAAAAAGUUAGGGAUUUUAAAAGGAAAAUAUACUGCAUCAGGAAAGACUGAUUGACGCAGAAGAACCAGCAACAAGGAGGAUCAAUCUAGUUACUCUUUUUAGAAGCAAGGUUCUAGGGAUUCAUGGUAAUAUGGAAAGUAAUGUUUAUUGUGAUUUAAUGUAAACCUGUUCCCAUUACCAUUUUCAAUUUAUUUCAAUUUGUAAUAUCUAAUAUAGAGCUACACUUUCAUGCGCUACCAUUUUAUGAAUGAAAGUUUGAUUUAUGAAUAUCUUUCCACUUUUGUAUUCCUUUAUCUUUUUAAUUUGCAAAAUAUCAUUUACUUUUGAUGAUAUAAUUUUGAAACUAAGGAAUAUUAAACAUAUUAAGAUACACAAAUACUUUGAAAUUUGAAAUGCUUAAAGAGGAAAUUAAAGUUUUCUCAAAAGACCAUGAAAUCUUAAAACACUCUUGGAACACUACCAUAAGAAUAUUCCUGAGGGGGCUCGAUCCAUAAGUUUUCCAAAGAGAUUGCUAGUUCAACGAAUGACUGGUAUACUUAUUAGUAAAGCUCAGAAGCAUCCAUAUACUUCAAAUUUUGGUAGACUGUAGCGGUAAAUUCAUGACCAUUAAGCUAUGGAUAAGCAAGACAUCAAUAAAACCAGAGUCGCUACCGCGCUUUUAUUGUUUUCAAGGGAAAAGGGAAAAGUACGAACAAAACCCCAAAAUAAGAAGUUUUCAAAUCAAAACGAAUAAAAUGCUAGAGAUUACAGGUAAGGGGUUGGUUACACAGAGGGAAGGUGUUAGCACCCAAAGUGUCCUAGGUACUCCUAGGGAACCCUUUUUUGUGUGCAUAUGUAUUUUGUACAAAAUGAUGUUUACAAACAAAUAGAAUGGGCGGAUGAGAAAAGAAUUCAUUAAUUAAAUUUUUGUAUUUGACAAGACCUUCGGACUUGUGCCUACGUACCAACAUAAAAUGAGGGAUCAAAACCUCGUAGUUCGUGGUAUAAAUUUCAAAGUGGAUGCAUUGAUUUUAUUAAAGAUUAAAUUUGAAAGGCACCAACGCCUAAAAAUGGUUUGAAUGGAUUAGUUCUUUUUUACUUUUGAAAAUUUUAAGUCAAGUAUAGUUAAGUUUAUUUACAUGUUUGAUUAAGAAAAUAAGUUUGAAAAAAGCAAUGGCAUAAAGUCAAAGUUUCUAGUUUGCAAUAUGGUCAAAGUUUAGAAAAAAACAGAUACAAGCAAAGAAUAUUUUUAAAAGGAGGGAGAGAUUUUGAAAUUAAAGAAGUAGGGAGGAGAUGAAGAGACUAAUCCUAAGCACAAAUUUAAAAGUUGAGAGUUGAAAAGAUCUUACCAAUGGGCUGCAACCCAAUAGACAAGAAUGUCAUAUAGAAACCCAAAUUCCCUUAGACAUUAGAAUCAAGCAGCAAACAAUGCACAAUAUAUCAACUUGAAGAGCAAGGCAUCAAAUAAAGAUAGCCACAUCCAAGCUUAGCAACUCCAUGAUCUUCUUCAAAUUUGCCUAUGUAGCAGAUGAAUUCCACAAGUCACAGGUUCAAAAUAACAACUUCACAAUGAUCAUGUUGCAGAUGAACUUCAAAGGGAUCUUCAAUGAUGUAUCAGAUGAAGUUUCAAAUUUCAAGCACUUGGUUUCAUAAAAGUUGGCAUUGGCCAAGUCCUUUGCAUAGGGAAUGUUGCCUAAAUUCUAAGUCCAAUUAUCUCAGAUCCAACCAACAGUCCACACAAGAUAUGUUUUAGGGUUUUUGUUCUUAUUAUGUAUAUUAAUGGUCAAAGACCACACAAGCAAACAAAAUAUAUACAAACAAGAUAUAUCACACAAUAUGGUCCAAGUUGACAAAGUGAAAAUGGCAUUAAUAUAAACAAUUAGAAUGGUAUGAAUAAUGGCAAAUGAAUAAAGCUUGAAAUUAAAUUGCAUUAAGGUAAAUGACUUGAAAUUAAAUGUUAGUUGUUAAUGAGUUAGAAGUUAAUAUUGCUUUUGCUUUUGCUUUUUAUUUUUAAGUCAUUCUUUGGAGAACACUCAACCCACUUAUCACAAGCAUGGAUCCUUGAACCAAGGCAUCUUCCAAAGGAAGGAAAAAAGGCCAAGUUUCCAUACAAUACCAUGAAAGAGGGGAGACUUACAAUCUCACUAACUAGAAUGUUAUGCCUUUUAUGUUCAAAAAUUUAGCGCUAUGUUAAGCAAUCGUAAUUGGACUUAUGUAGAAGUCAUAACUAUUUGAGGCCAAGCAAUAGAAUUUUGGUGUUAAUGCAUGUUAGAGACAUAGUAUAAUGGACUAUGCUCAUGAAACAUGCCACACACAAAAAGAAUAUGCAAAAGAGAUGGCCUAAUCUCAUCCAUACUUAUGUUGAUUUUGCAAUCAACUAGCCUUAGGAUAUAGAGAUAUCAUAGUUCAAAUGGAAUGGAUGCAUAAAUAAGGGGAAUUAGAUGAAGAGGGAGGGGAAUGGAUCAAAACUCAAAUUGGACAAGGGAGGACUUUUACCAAAUUAAGAUCAUUCAUUCAUUUUGGGAGAUGGAAUGUACAUUCCAUCAAUCCCCUAAAUCUAAUGAUCUUAAUCUAGCAAAGUCAAAUCAACAUUGACCAAGGCCCAACAACACGAUUCAAACUCAUACAAGCAAUCAAAAAGGCUAAACACAAUUAUUUGGUAUUUAUUCAAUUUAAAAAUACUAAAAAUAAUGCAUUAAAUUAAAUAUUGUUUGUCAAAUUCCAAAAACCUCAUCAAAACACCAAAGAAAUGCCAUGAGAUUUAUCAUAGGUCAAACAAGGUCAAAGGACCUUGGAGAAAAAAUUUCAGAAUUUUUGGAAAUUUAAAAGUAUUUUUAAACAAUUAAAAAUAUUCACAAAAUCAAUUAAAUCGUGAAAAAUAUUAAUAAUGAUCCAAAAACUAAUUUUAAUUCAAAAUAUGAAAGAGGAUUUUAUAUAAACUUUUUUGGUGAAACUCUCAUAUUUUUUGGAUCAAUAUUAAAAUUAAUAUGAAUUAAUGAAAAUCAAAGGAAUAAAAAGAAAUACAAAAAAUACAAAAAACGUGAACCACUUGAUCUCCCUCAUUAAUUGAGGUGGCAGAUCAAGUGGCCAUCAGCGCGCUUUCCACCAUAGUCACUAGUCAAUGCGUAACACAAGUGCUAAUUACAAGAAACACGUGAGAUUAAAACAUUUUGAACAAGAUCAAUGGCUCUGAACCUAUCCGGCACAUCACCGGCGCUGAAACUCCGGUCACCUUCUCAGGCGAGCCUCGCCGAACUGGUUCAUUCAUCAUCAUCACAUAAAUGAAAAAGGAGGACAUGAUCUGAAAGAAAAAAUGGCGUAGAGCACGAAUCUGACCUCAAUUUUAACUAACUCCAAAUAUAUAGAAAGAUAUGAGGAGUUAAAUUUUGAGGUGUAUCAACUGAGUUGCUUCGAUUUGACCUCAAAGCAACUCAUUCUUCUUGCCUACAUUGGUAGGACUUCAGACAACCAAAGAUCCAAGAGAAUUGAUGAGAAUUGAGUGAGAAUCGAAGAGAAGAAAAUUUCUGGAAAAUACCUUUAAUGUUGUGCAGAACUUGAUCUUGCUUGCUUCAAUCCUUGCUUGAUCACACUCAGGAAGCUUGCAGAAGUGGUUUAGCAAUGGAAUAAAGCUUUGGAUCCUGGAGUUUUUGAAUCUCCAAAUAGUGAGAUUCAAACUCAAUUUUCAAAAUGAAAUUUCUCAGGUUUUCCUUUGAAUUGUGAGGGUUUGAAGAGAGGGGGCAAAGUUGGCGCGCAAAGGUCCUCUCAAAUGAGCUCAGAGGGCUUGUAUUUAUAGCAAUAGGGAGUGAUAUUUGCACACUUGAAUUUGCAUGGGUGUGUACAGGCCGCUGAAGCAAUCCAUUUAGGUCCAAAUGCAUCUGAAAUGAUUUUGAAAUGAAGCUUGAAUGGCAAGGCAAUGCAAUGUGAUGUUUUGAACAUUUGAUCUUUCCACUUGAUGCAGACCUGUUAAGACCAUGUGCAGCCCUAGCAAACCUUGUCCAAAAUGGAUGAAAUAUGACUCUUUGGAAAGCUUAGGUCAAGGGGAACAACUCUUAUGUUGAACACCUUUCCAUUUGGAACUUGUAUCAUGGUGAAUUUUGAGGUGGAAGUUUGGAAAUUUCAACAUGUUGAAAACUUUUCUAAGUGUUAAGUCACAUACCUCAAUAUUCCACCUUACUUAACUUUUCAUGUGAGCUCCAAAUGAGAAAAGUGUAUUCAUCAAAGUUGUAGCUCUUUCAAAGAACUUAAAAAUGGUCACCAAUUUCAUGUCAUUUGGAUUUAUAAUGAUAGAGUUAUGCAUUUUUGAAGUUGAGGAAAAUCACUUGUUCAAUGGUAUAGGUAAAAAUUGAGCAAGUUGUGAUCUUAGGAAGUUGACUUUGAAAUUAGGAUUGAGACAAAAUGACCUAUAAUGUUUCAACAUAGAAGAUGACUUUCCAAGAAAAGUUAGCUCUAGACCCCAACAUGAAAGUUGUUUAUAAUGUAAUUUAUAGUAACUUUUCUCUUGGGAUCAUUUUCAUAUGAUAAAAAUUGUAGGAGAUAGGGUCUGGGGAGACCCUGUUUUGAUUAGAUGAAUUCAUCUGGCCAACCACCAUCAACCAACUUGCUAACUUCCAAUUCUUUUGACUUUUUAGGCUCAUGAUAGAUCAUAUAUGAAUAAUGUAAGACCCUAAUUUUGACCCUAAGAUCCCUCAUGGCAUCAUAUAAUUGCUCAUUGCAUUUUGCCUCAAGGAUCACAACAUCUUGGCUCCUUACCCUAGGGUUGAGACUUGUGUGAGUGGUUUGAGACUACCAAGCAUGCUUGAAUUGUAUAUUAUUGAUCUUCUUAUUCUAUUUACUAACAAAAAGCACAAAAAUAUGUCACUAACUUCUUUUGUUUUGAAGCUUAAGCAAUCAUGAGAUCCAAGGCUCUUAGUAGGCUCCUAUGCUCAUUGAAAUGACCAGAUGAAGAUGAAAGCAAGCAUGACAAUGGUUCCCAAAGCUCUCAAUCAUCAUAUAUGUCUCCCAAGCAUCUCAACUUUCCAAGUUGAUCAAGAUAAACCAAAGGGCUUGAGGAUUGUUUCCCAAGGAAACCCUAAUUCAACUGUGCAUUGAUUGUGCCUUGCUCAUGAAGCAACCUCAAC
This 46475-nucleotide long non-coding RNA is filed under the name Lathyrus oleraceus (garden pea). RNAcentral describes it as "Pisum sativum (pea) long non-coding RNA (PSAT_LNC009077)". Lineage: Eukaryota; Viridiplantae; Streptophyta; Magnoliopsida; Fabales; Fabaceae. The record is from RNAcentral.